UGCAUACACUUGCUUCAUAGUCUUUACCACAUUAUUGACUUACUAACUACAAUUUAUCCAUGCACAUUGCACAGGGUGGACUUGGUGGCGCUCAAGCAUUUGCGAAGUCAGAUAAAUUGGUGAAUAUGCUAAAGAAGCAAAAGGAAUCAAAUAGACCUUAUGGUGCUAUAUGUGCAUCCCCAGCUUUAGUGUUGGAGCCCCAUGGCUUACUCAAGGUACGACCGUUUCUGCUUAAAUUAUUUACUCAGAUUUGGAUCACCCAAUCUGAACUUGAUGAAGGAUUAUGAUGUUGUGUGAUUUUAUGAAUGUGGUCGUAUCUCAUGUAAGUCAGUGAUGAAUUAAUUGGAGUUUGCUGACAAAUUAGAAACUGAAAAACUGCUGCUGCUUCAUUAGUUACAUUACCCAAAGAGUUAAAAUAAACAUCCCAAAUUUUGUCCCAAAUUCUGUCCCAAAUGAUAUGGCAUUUAUUGAGUGAUUGUAUUAUCUAACCAACCAAUUGAUGAAUGUCACAUAAUUUGAGAUGGUUUUUUGGGAUAAAGAAUUUGGGAUUUUUACCCGCAAAAAUCCCAAGUACUUCCUGCUCCUGCAAUAUCAUUGCUGUGUAUUUGCUUUCCCCUUAGACAUAUUCAAUUGUGGUUCAGGGUAAAAAAGCUACAGCUUUUCCUGCUAUGUGCAACAAGCUGUCAGAUCAGAGUGAAAUCGAAAACAGGGUUGUGGUUGAUGGCAACCUCAUCACCAGUAGAGGGCCAGGAACUUCUAUGGAGUUUGCACUGGCAAUUGUGGAGAAGUUUUUGGGCCGCAACAAGGCACUUGAGCUUGCAAAGAUAAUGCUUUUCACUCGCGCCUAACGUUUGUAUGGGGACCUGUCUACUAUUAAACUAGUGUGUUUAUUUCUGUAUUGCUACUGCUUGUAGAGAGGGGAAAUGGAAACUUGAAUUCAUGUUUGAAUAUGGAUUCACUGUGUGGGUUUGUACAGCAGUUUGGUUUAUAAAUAAAUGAGUUCAUGGAGUCACUUCAAAUAUUCGGAAUAAACCUGAGUUUAGAUCUGUUAUCAAUGGUCGGAGUCCAAUUGCGAUCGACUCACUGGGAAUUUUAAUUAUGAAUCAUGUUAUAUUCCACCUUUCUCAUAAAAUGUUAACUCGAUUUACAGGAUAAGAAGGAAAAGAAAGACGCUAAGAGAGGAGCAGACACCCAAAAAGAGUUGACCACUUUGUUGGAACAUAAAUCUCUAGAAUAUUGAAAUAAAACACAUACCAUAUCUAGUAUCAAGUAUGUAUGUGCAAGAAGAUACAAAUUUGAAGAUCAGAUUUCUCAUUUCAAUUUAUGUUCUGCUUAGAGCAAUGGCUCUUAUUCCACAAGCACAAGCAGGAAAGAGUACGCACGAAGUUAAGAAACACACAUUGCAAAAGUUGCAUUAACUACUUGCGGCAACAUCAUCCAAGAACUUGACUUUAAUCUUCUUGAGCUUCGCUGCAGCAUCUGUCAUAUGCAUUCUCUUGUCAGGUGACUCCAUACAACAAUCCAAUGCCAAAUCCAUGAUGCUUAAUAAACAAUCCAUUUUGGCAGAAAAAGCUUGCUCUUCUCGCACCAAAUUUGCGUCAACAACUUCACUCAAUCUGUGAGGUAAUGACUCCUUCACCCAUCUCCUUAAACUCAUUUCUUCUGUGAACAUUUGAUCGGUGGGCCUCUUUCUCGUGAAAGUUUCCAUCAAUAACACACCAUAGCUGUAGACAUCACAUUUGGCUGAAACAAUUCCUUCUAAUCCAUACUCUGCAUUUUUUAAUUUUAAUUAUGAAACAAAUGAUAAAACAAAUAAUUUUUUUGAUAAUUAAGGUAACCCAAACUUUGCUCGUGCUUGAAAAAAGAGCAAAAAUUUUAAUUACAAUUGAAACUUUACCUGGUGCCAUAUAACCAAUUGUAGCCAUUGUCAUGGUUUGUGUCACACAAUCUUCUCCUUCACCUAAGAGUUUGGAAAUGCCGAAGUCGCACACAUGUGCCAUCAUAUUUUCAUCCAAGAGAAUGUUGGUGGGCUUCAAAUCACAAUGAAUUAUAGGUGCCGACGAAUGACCAUGAUGGAGAUAUUCAAGAGCCGACCCCACAUCUAUCAUUAUAUUCAACCUCUCUAGAAUGUCUAAGAAAUAAUUGUAAGAAUACAACCACUUCUCGAGACUACCAUUUGGCAUGAACUCAAGUACCAAUGCUUUGAAAUCUGGAUUAGAACAACUGCUAAGGAUCUUUAUGAGAUUUCGAUGACGAACAUUCCGUAAAACUUCACAUUCAGAAUCAAAACUCCUAAAUGCUCUCUCUAGUUGCAGAUUGAAAAUCUUUAUUGCAACAUUAGUCCCGUCGGAAAUGGUUCCUUUAUAAACUGAUCCAAAACUACCUGUACCCAGCAAGUUACAUUCAUUAAAUUCAUCAGUUGCUCGUUGAAUGUCAAGGUAGGAUGUUCUUCUCCAUGUUGCAAGAGGUAGGAAAUCUUCGUGAUCUGAUUUUUUUGUACUCCUCUUUCGGCAUCUUAUGUACAUAAUGAUGAUAAUCACUAUAAGUACAGAGGAUACUAUCGGAGGCAAAAUAUAUUUAAGGACAAUUAGAGCAACGUUCUUGGUGCUUUUGCUGUCACCUUGUUUGCAAGGUGGGACUCGGAGUUUAGGUGGACCACAGAGUGCAUAAUUUCCGAAAAAUGAUUCAGUUGACAAGUUUUUAAAAGACCCCUUAACAGGAAUUUCCCCUUCUAGCCUAUUAUGAGACACAUUAAAUUGUUUGAGAUGUGACAAUAUCUCCAAUGACUUAGGAAUUUUUCCAGAGAGAUUGUUGCCGGAGAGAUCUAAGGAUUCUAAGCUUAUCAAACUGCCAACUGAUUCAGGAAUAGGUCCCUGAAAUUGAUUACGAGCCAAGGAUAGAGUUUCUAGAUCUAUGAGGGCACCAAUGGUUGAUGGAAUAUCACCUAAUAAUUGAUUCCUUGAUAAAUCUAAAACUGUCAAGACCUUUAACUUUUGUACAUUGGAAGGGAGAGGACCAUUUAAUGAAUUAGACGACAAGUUUAUCUCUAAGAUGUACUCAAGGCUCCACAAGGAUGACGGUAUACUAGAAGUGAGCUUGUUGGAGCCUAAGCGGAGUUCUCUUAGAGAUGUCAAACUCGCCAAGCAUGGCGGUAUAUGUCCAGAGAGCUUAUUUCCAUUUAACCUUAUUCCGUAUAUCAACUCCAAGUGGCAAAGAUCAUAGGGAAUGGAUCCUUCCAAAUUAUUUUCUUCAAGAGAUAAACCUUGUAGCCGCUUAAGUCUUCCCAUCGUUGGUGAAAUAGUUCCAUUCAAGUCAUUGAAGCCGAGGCUUAAGAGGAUCAGGCCACGCAACUUACCAAUUUCUUUAGGAAUGCUGCCCCCGAGUUUGCAGUUGGAUGCAUAAAAUUGUCGAAGAGAAGCAGAGAAAUUUCCAAUCACUGGUGGAAGGAUGCCACCCAAUGGAUUAUAAGCUAAGGCUAAAAAUGUUAAAUUUCUGCAAUUAGUCAGAGAAGAGAGAAAACUCCACUGAUCUGCUGAAGAUGAUUCUGUCGUCAAGUUAUUAAAUGCUAAGCUGAGCACGUCGAGGUGUCUCAAGUUGCCAAAUGUAUUUGGAAUAUGGCCCGAGAAUGAGUUGAAGCCCAAGUCUAGGGCAACGAGUUUAGUAGCAUUGGUGAUAGAGUGGGGAAUUAUCCCUAUAAGAUUAUUGGCCGACAAGGCUAAAUACUCUAUGUUCGGAAGCGAGUGGCCAAUCGUUGACGGUAAGCGGCCUGAGAGUUGAUUGCCCCCCAGAGUAAGGAUUCUCAUGGUUGAAAUGUUGAAGAUCGUGGGUGGAAUGAGGCCACUUAAAUUGUUGUCAGCAAAAACAAGAACCUCCAAAUUUUCCAGAUUGCCAAUCUCGGUUGGAAUUUGACCUGCCAUCAGGCCAACAUUGAGGAGUCAUUGAGCUUUUAGCUUAAGGUAAAUUGAGUUUGACAAUGUUACCCUUGAAAAUGUAAAAGGAUCAAAUUAAUUUUAUUACACAAUAAUUUCAGCCAAUAAUGUUCUUUACACAAUAAUUCUGCAAAAUAUGCAUGCAAAUGGAAAAAUAUGCUUCAAUUACAAGAGGUGGUGGAGCGUACCUCGAAGAUUGCUGAAGCUAAGAUCCAGAUACACGAGUUUACUCAAAUUUCCAAUCCUUGAAGGAAUAUUUCCACCAAUAGUAUUGAACUCUGCACGCAGCGUCUCUAGCCUUGAUAAGUUGAAGAGAGAAUUAGGGAUGGGACCUGUGAAACUGUUAUUAUAAAGUCUCAAUAUUCGGAGUUUAGAUAAGACACCAAUCCAUGAUGGAAAGCUUCCGCUCAAUUUAUUGUAAGCGAAACUCACGACUCUGAGUCGACGUAAUUGCCCCAAUUCUUUCGGCAGAUGGCCAUGAAAAUUGUUCUCACUAAUGUCAAGAGACACUAGAAAUGAGAGAUUUCCCAAGUGUAGUGGAAUGGUGCCUCCGAGACCCAUAUCUGAAAGAUUCAAGGCAGUGACUCGUUGAUGGCGUGAACCACAAGAGAUACCAACCCAGCUACAUAUUGGAUAAGAUAUAGACCAAUUAUUUGCCAGGGCACUCCGAUAAUCAAGAAUGUGGGCUUUGAAUGCCAGAAGAGCUGAUUGAUCUGUUGUUAAAUCGUUUAAAGUCGUCACAGCUAAGCUAGCAAUGAGAUACUGUAACACUAACACCGACAUAGGAACAAAGAAGAAUGAUAAGCGCAUAUUGGUCGUUUUUAGUAGUAGUUGCAAGGCGAGAUUGAUACAAGUUUUAAGUAAAGGAAAUUAGCAUAUACUUAUAAUGAGACAUAUGAAUUUGAAAAUAAGAGCAGAAAAAAUAUACAGGAGACUUGCAAAUUGUUAUAUUCUGUCAUUGAGCGAGCCGUCCAAGUAAACGCAUUUACACUUGAACCCUAAAUAAAGGCCUUAUGGCACUUUAAUUGCCAUAAGGAAGAAGAUGCUCAACAUUGCCAAAAGUGUUUUUCUUGAAGUCUCGUCUUCCGUAAUGUUUGUAAAAUCGAGGUUUUACCAUCUCUAAUUAAAUAUUUACUCUUGAUUUAGACCACGUAAUCUAAACUUGACGAAAAAUUAUGAUCUUAUGUGAUUUUAUGAAUGUGGUCUUAUCUCUUAUAAGUCGGCAAUGAAUUAAUUAAAGCUUGCUGACAAAUUACAAGCUCAAAAAUAUCUUUUACUUAUUCACAAUCUUAUUUCAUUUUUUUAUAACAUAAUAUUAAAAAUUUGUCUAUUAAAUUAAUUUAAUAAUUUUUUUAAUAAAAAAUCUCAUUGACGACCAAACAACUAAUUUUUUUUUUAUAAAAGCUUUGCUUGUUAAAAUUAUGCUGAAAAAAACUCUACUUAAGUAAGUUCUAUUUUUUUUAUAAAAGCCAUUUUAUUUCUUUAUCUUUUUUAAUUAUUAUUGGAAAAGUAGCGCAGCUUAUCAAAAAAGGAAAGAAAAAAAAAAGUCAAAGUGACGAGUGGCUUGUUUUUUAAUUUCAAAGUCAAUGCAAAGUAAAAGUACCGAAAUAAUCAGUUUUUAAAUCCAAAUAAGUGGCAAUAAAGGGAGGUCUUGUUAGGGGUGUUCGCGGAUCGAAUUUUAUGGAUUGGACAUCAAUCCAUAUUCGAUCCACGAUUUUACGGAUUAUAAAAUUUCAAUCCAAUUCAAUCCACGGAUUUGUAAAAUUCAAUCCAAAUCCAAUCCAUAAAUCUGCGGAUCAGAUGCAAAUUUGACCUAAUCCAUAUCCAAUCUACAAUUUUGCGGAUUGGUUUGUGGACUGAAAAUUUUUAAUUCUGUCAAAUCCACGAACUAACUAAAUAAAAAAAUUUAAUAUAAAAAUAAUUUUACUACGGAUCAAAUUUAAAAUUAAAUAAGAUUUAAAUAAAUAAAUUGCUUAAAUAAAGCUAGCAAAUACAUUUAAAGUUUCAAAAUAUAACACACCAAAAUGAAAAAAAUAUCAUUCGUUUUAGAUCAAGGAAAUUAACUAUUUAGUAAACUAUAUUUGUUUAUUUAAUUAUUUUUUAUUUUUUAUUAUUAUCGGAUAUGAUAUAAUAUAAUGUUAAUGUAACUAUAUUUUAACUUAUUUAUUUACUAGUAAGUACUAAUAACAUAUUUACAAGUUUUAUUUUUAAUUAAAUAAAUACUUUUUAUUUUUUUGCGGAUUCGCGGAUUUUUACCGAUUUACAGAAGUAGAUCCAUAUCCAAUCCACUGAUUGCGGAUUAUCAAAUUUUCAAUUCAAUCCAAUCCACCAAUCCACGGAUCAGACGGAUUGAGCAGAUCGAAUUAGAUUAUGAACACCCUUAGGUUUUGGUGUGCAUUGUUGAAAACUUGGAAGUCUAUAUGACCAUUUAACCAAACUAUAGGGGUAUAACUGUCACAAAUUUUUAAAAAUAAAUUUUACCAAACAUUUAAAUGAUUUUUUUUUCACAAUUGAUUAUUAAAUUCUAAGUGUUAGACUAUUGUAAGAAUACAAAUAAUUGACAUGGACAUAAUAUUAAAUAAAAUUUACUUAUAUAUAUAUAUAUAUAUAUAUAUAUAUAUAUAUAUAUAUAUUAUUGUUUGUAUAUAAAAAUUGCUAACUAAAAAAUAUUUAUAUUUUAUCAAUUUUAUUUCUUUUAUUUUUUUAUCUCAAGAUAAAUAUAAUAAUAACAAUCUCUCUAAAUUUAAUUAUUUUUGCUCUUUAUUGAAUAAGGAUAAUUUUGAGUUUCUGUAAUAUAUGUGAGGAUAUAUAUAAAAUUGUAUUAAAUAUAUAACUAUUCUCAAAAUUAAAUUUUAAAAAACUAGUUCAUUCUCACUUUUCAUUUAAUUAGGCAAAUGGCCACAGAAAUUGUUCUCCCUCAUAUCCAAAUAAACUGAAAACGAGAGAUUUCGUAAGUGUGGAGGGAUGAUGCCUUCGAAACCCAUCACUGAAAGAUUCAAGUUUGUGACUCUAUGGUAUGAGCACCACAACAUAUGCCAAUUCGACUGCAUAUUGAGUAAGACAUGGACCAAUUAUUCAAGAGAUUCAUGAGCCUUCGAAGUGAGAAAUAAAGCAAAUUAUGUGGUGGUCGUGGGUCAAUUGACUACGUUUCGUGAUCUACGUGCGAUUGCAACAGUCGGUUCAUUAAGUGAAAUUAAUGACUCGUCCACUAUAGUAAGAUACUGUCCUCAUUAGGUUGGUGCUGGGUCAAUUUUAUCCAUGAGUCAACUUACAUUAAUUUGAAUUAAUUUAUAAGAGUAUCUCAUUUUCGUUGAUUACGAGUUGUGAUCGAUGACAUGCACGAAAGCAGUCAAUUUACAGGUCAUUCACUAUAUAUAUGGGGUCUAUGGGUGGAUGGAUCUAACGUAAAUUAAGGGUUGAUGAUGACCCUCGACUUCUAACGACGACCAUCGAAGACGACCUUGACUUUACAUGCAAACACACAAUUCGCUCUCAUACAUUAUGUUUUAAAAUUUCUCCAUUUUCCGGGGCCCCGCUGUCGACCGUACACAGUUUAAUUUGUAUAUACAAGACCUCAUUGUUUCUAGCAAGCAUAGAGCCAUAGACCAUAUUAAUUCCAAUUACAUAAAUCUUCAUUUUUAUCAUGAUUUUGGAUCUCGAGCAGUGUGGAUAUAUCCAACCAGAUCCGCCUCACUGGCAUCCCAAUAUAUUUUAGAAUUGAGUAAUGAGUAUCAAUAAAUGUGUAAUUGUAAAUCUACAACGUUUAAUUUUAAUUUGAGGACUCAAAUGAAUUUAUCCAACAAUACCUCGUUAAAUUAAUAUUCCAUAAAUUUUUAACUUUAAUUAAAUAACAAAUUUUGUCCGUCCCAACUUAGGAUUAACGUGGUAAUUAAUAAUUUGAUAAAUUGUUAGAUAAUAAUUUUUUAAAAAAAUCUUAUUUUUUUAUUGGAUCAAACUGAUAUAUAAAUGAAUAAUUAAUUAAUUUUAAAACUAAAUUCAUGUUAUGUCAAUCAAAUGUUAUUGCAAAGAAGACUAGCAGCGACGCUUUGAAAGGUACACCAAAGCCUUUUGCACCUUCUCCUCCGUGACCACCAAUAGAUACUUCCACCAUUUCAACGUCAUGACAUGAUGUAAGUUUCUUUUGUAGAAUUUGCGAAUUGGUAAUCUUUUACACGCGUAUAUUUAUAUCAUUGUAUAGUUAUAGAUUCAAUUACUUUUAUGAUGCAUUUAUUAAUUUGGAAUUGAAGUAGACAAGAAUGGGCUGUAAUGUGAAUGGAGAAUCGAAAUUAGAAUAAGUUAUUUACUUGAACUGUAGAAAUCGAAAUGAGUUGGAUUGUCAUUAAUGUGUUUACUUUGUCUUGGAAUCAGAAUUGAAAUAAGUUAGUUUAUAACAAAUUACUAAAAACUACUUAAUGAACUAUUGUUAUAAUUAUUAUUUUGUAUUUUAAUUAUUAUGAUUAUUUAUUAAAAAUUAUUAUUGUUAUUAUUACUUAUUGUUAAUAGUAUAUUAAUAUAUUAAUAAAUUAUAAUAAUAUAUUAAAUAACUAUAAUAUAUUAAAAAAUAUACUUGUAUUUACAAGAAAUGACUGAUAAAAUUUCUAAAAUCGUCUUCCUCCCUAAAACUCUUAAUGCCACAGCCCUAAAAAUUAAAAAGAUUUGGGAAUUAUAUGUCUUUUUUAAAAUAUUAAAGGGUGUUUAUUUCCUUAAACGGUGGGGACUAAAAGUCCUAUUCCCAAACGAGUAGUGUGCCGGCGUUGGAGGCUAGAAAGACAAUUUGUUACAUUGCUUCAGAAGUGCUUAAUGGAAAUUUUGGUGAGGCAUCACAUAAUUUAAAGGAUCAGGCUACGGUGCAACUGUGGUACCGUACUACAGUUGCAUCCAGCCGUUUUAAUUCACUUAUAUUGGUGAGGUUCACUGGCAUCCAACGGCUGAAUGCAACUAUGGCACGGUACCACAGUUGCACCACAAGUUUCCCCUAAUUUAAAUUACUGGAAUUUGCAUCAAUGGUUUUUAUUGGUUUAUUUACUCGUCAACAAAUUACUGUAACUGCAGAAAACAGUGUAACACAUUGUAUAAUACGUUAAUACGUUAUAUUGGUCAGUGCUCCUACCAAGGAAAUCUUUUUAAGUUUUGUUAGCAGAAUAUUCUUGUAAGGGUGGAGGCAUAAGAGAUUAAUAAUUUAAUAUCUCUUGUUCAUUAGAAGAUUUUUUUUUUUUGGGAAAAAAAAAGAAGAAGAUGGUUUGUUUAAUGUUGAUAAAUUUUGAAGUACAAUUUUAUAGAUGUCGAAUGUGGGCAAAAAGUAAAGAAGCUCAAACACUUUUCUACAUCUAAACUAAUCAUUAGGAUUUAUAUUAACUAAUAAACCCUAAUAAUACGAGCGUUCAUAAAAACUUCAUAUGAACAUUGAACCAGCAUGGCAUCAUAUUGUAAUAAGUUGUACAGCUGUCAAUCUCUUAUUAGUCAGAUAUAUUCUGAGUUAGUUACAUGAAUGUAGUAUAAAUAUCAUACUCUGUACACAUUCUUAGUUAGUUACUUCAGUAGAAUUUUCUCUCCUCUACUCAAUUUUUAAGUUAUCUUUUAUAUUGGGGGCAAAUGAUAUUUUAUUAACGAAAUGAUUUUGCCCUCUUAAUAAGCUCUCAUUUCUCCGCUUUGAUCAACACAGCCUUCUUUUAUUACAUCAAAAUUCUUCCUCUUUCCAUCAAAAUUUCAUGGAUCUGCCCUUACGUAAAAUCAUAUGAGAGUAUAUAAUAAAAUUAAUUAGGUAUGUUUGGAACAUUUUUGGUAUCCUUAAGCUGAUUUUAUUUUUAUUUUUUUAUAGUAUAUAUUGUCAAAAGUAAAUGCUAUAAACACUUUCGGAAAAAAAGAUGAAGAGCACCUUUGGAGUAAUUUUUUCUAUAGGAACUAACAAAACAACUAAAUGAUGUAUGUAUCUCUAAGAUUUAUUAUUAUUAAUUUUUUUUUCUGUAGUUGACAAAGCAUCAUGAUUGUGUUGGAUGAUAAGAUUAAAGGUGGGAAUGGUCCGAAUGGACCAAUUUUUUAGGAUAAAAAAAAAAAUGAUUCAAUCCUGGGCAUGUUUGGCUAUCGAAACUAGUUGAUUAGUCUAAAGUUUAAUUCAAAAGUAAUGGGACUAUUAAUCCUUAGGAAAAUUAUCAUUUGUAUACUCUAUAGAUGCUCUGUUAUAUAAAAAAUUACAACACUUUGAGAGUGUAUCAAUCGUCCACCCUAAGUUGACAAAAUAUAUCUGCCGUCCAUCAAACCGUUACUUGCUGUUUAAAUAGGAUAGCGCCAGAGGGGUAAUUUGGUCUUUUCAUAUGAUACAAGUGAUAAUUCAAGGGUAUACAAGUGAUAAUAAAAGAAUUUAAAGGUAUACAAGUGAUACUUUUCAAGGGUAAAAUCAUCAAUUCGCUAUAAUUCCGUUAACUUUCAAACGACAGCUAACGGUUUAGUGGUCGGCAGAUAACUUUUUUCAAUUUAGGGUGGACGAUUGAUACACCCUCAAAGUGUUAUAGUAUUUUUUAUAAUAGAACAUCUAUAGGGUAUACGAAUGAUAAUAUCCCUAAUCAAUCCUUAAUUCAACUUAGGUUUAAGUAGUAUAUAAAAAAUCUUCUUUAUCACUCUUUUCAUUUUUAUUUAGAUUAAAAUUCAUAUAAAUAAAUAUAAAGAAUUAAUUUCAUAAUUUAUUUAAACUAAAAUUUUAUAUUAUAUUAAAUAUCCAAAUUUUAAUUCAAUAAUUUAUUUAUAUUAGAAUUUUAUGCAAUAUUAAAUCCCAAAACUUUAUUUAAUAAUUUAUUUACAAAAAUAUUAAUAUCAAAUUCAACAAUUAGUAAUAUAAUUUAAAAUAAUUACACUAUUUUAAUAGUUAUUUAGCUAUAUUAAAUUAAAUUUAACAUAUCCUUGUCCGAUACUAUACUAAACAAACGAUAGUACCUUAUAUAGUAUAGUCAAUCUAUUAUAAUAUAAUUCAAUCUAAUCGAACGUGCCAAAUCAGUACAUUUUAAAAAAUAAUUUUAUAACAGCUUUAAAAAAGCAUUUUUUAAGUUACUUUUACAAAAUGUGCUUUCUCCGAAAGCACUCGUGAAAUGCAAAUUCUCACAAAACACGUGGUGUGUUCAAUUGGGCCUCCGCCCAUUAAAACUACAACCAUGAAAGCAAGCAAUGUUCAUUGGGCUUUAUUCUCUCGAGAAAACUUAUACACGUAGCCCACCACCGGCGCCCUAAUUUGUCUCCACCUCUCUAAAUAGAGUUGGACUAUUGGCACCUUUCCAAAAUUCUUCUGAAAUUCCUUUUUCAAUAAUAUUAAGUUUAAUGCUAAAAAUAUCCUUAUUUCCAAAUAAAUACAUUUAAUUUGUGAAUAUUUUAAUUUUCUAUUAUUUUCUCGCUCCUCACAAACAAAUUUUUAUGGGCGAUAAACUUCUUGAUAAAAAUCAAUUAAUUAAAUAAAAUAUCUAUAAGAUUAUAAUGUAAAAAAUUUUAUUAUGAGUCUUAAAAAAAGACAGAUAAAUUUAUCAGAAUGUGUUUUGUUUAUUAUCAAUAGAUUAUUUUAGUAAUUAAAGAAAAAUUUAUAGAGAAUUUGAGAAAAAAAAUUACGUGUGAGUUUGAUAGCAAAGAAAAUAUAAGAGUUUUUUUUUAAGAGAGAAAAUACAAAAGUUUGAAGUGAGAUAAAAUAGAUAUAAGAUAUAUUAGAGUAUUUAUCCUUAAAUUUAAUUGUAACAAAAGAGAGGUUUUAAAAAGAUUUUGGAGGAGUGUCUCCAACUCCUCUAAAUAUUAUUGAUUGAUGCAUAUGUUUCACAGCAUAGAGUGGCUUACAUUGGAGCUUUUCUAAAAAAAUGAAAAUUUCAUUUAAUUAUUUAUUAUUCACGGAUAAGAAAUUAACUUCUUCUUUUUUCUAACGCCACAGUCUGGUGAGCUUGCCUAGUGUGUUUUAGUUGGAUAAAAAUUUUAGCAAAUGCUUCUUGGCAAGGAAGCUUAAAUAGUUUAACCUGAAUUUAACCUCGAAUGAACCCAAAUUAUUAAACCGAACCAAUCCGAAUUGUGAAUCUGAAUUUCAGUUCGAUUCAGUUUGGUUCAGGUUCGUAUUUUCAACUCGAACAAGUUUAAUGCUCCAAUUCGAUCAGGUUGUAACCUAAACCGAAACUCGAAAACCCGAACUGAAACUCAAUUUGGCCACCCCUAAUGAGAACUGAGAAGUACCUGGAUCGUAAAAGAAAGGUUUUGAUGAUAAUUUUGGCUAAAAAUCUGUUUCUUAACUUCUAUUUUUAUUUUUUUAUGCUGUAUUUUAGUUGCUGAAUAGGUUAUAUAUAGAAGUUCAGUUAAUUUUGUUUUGGAUGAAAAAUCAAUGAGUACUUCUGUGAUUAAUAAGUGAAAUUUUGUUUGCAUCAUAUAGUCAGCUAUAAUGCAUUGGAUGGCUUUGACUCAGCAUGGAAGAAAUGCUCUCCGGCAGAUUACUAAAGAGAGCUCUGAUCGCGUGUUGCAUCACCCAUUGCUAUUUUCUUGUCAAGGAGUCAGAUACAGACGAUUGGAAGUGAUUCUAACAACAAUGAGUAAAUUGAUCUUUUGUUUUCCCUUUUCACCAGUUUGGAUCUCUUGACUAAUCAGCCUGUUUGAGUUUUAACUUGUGUAUUAAUGAUUGGUUUUAUAUGUUCAGAAAGUUGACAAGCUUGGUAAAGCCGGUGAAACUGUGAAGGUUGCUCCGGGGUAUUUCCGGAACCACUUGAUGCCCAAAUUGCUUGUUGUUCCAAAUAUCGAGAAGUUGGCUCAUCUCAUUAGAGAGCAGCGCAGGUAUUUGUUUUUCAUGAUUCUUCUCGGUUGAACUUUUUUUGUUUGGGUUGAGAAUGGUUAAUUCUAGUGAUACAGAAAUUUGCUCAUUUUCUUUAGAUACUUUGUUUAGCCAGUUUGUCAAUUAAUUUGACUCAUGGCUUCAAAUUAUUGCUAAAUUCUCAGUUUGGAAAUAUUUGUGAUUUUUGAAGGGGCAUUACAAGUUAUUAAAGUUUGUUGUGCCUGUGACUUAUUUUCAUCAGAUUUGCCAGCCUGAGGAAGAGGAAGAGGAAGAGGAAGAGGAAGAGGUUAGAGUUAUCCGGAAGUCUGAGGACAAUAUGAGUAGAGAAUUUGAGAAGGCAGCUAGGCGCCUAGAGAAUGCUCGACUGGUUUGUGGCCUAUCUUUUAAUUUCUUCAGAUUCGGGACAAAUUGUCUUGGAGUGAACUGAUGUGUUGCCUUUUCCUUUUUUUUUAGCUUGAAUGAUCUAUUUGCUACAGUUAGGAGUGAACGUCGUAAUGAAUUUUAAAUUAUACUGUUUGUUUCGAUUUACUUUUCUAUCUUAGCUCCAUCAAGUGAUUAGUGGAAUGCUGGUCCUGUGAGUAUAAAAUGAAACUCCUUAAGUUAAAUUCCUUAGGCUGUGUUUAUUUUCUGUAGUGGGAGCGAGGAGUGUAAAUUCUUUUCAUUUCAGUAUUUAUUUCAACAAAUUGGCUCCGGAUUGAGAAUCCCACUCAGUAGACCCCACCCAUUUUUGGAGUGAGAUUCCCAUGGGGAGAGGUGGGAGUGAGAUUCCCACUCCCACCUCUCCCUUUUUUUACAUUUUUUUUAAUUUAAUUUAAUUUAACUUAAUUUAAUAUUUAAUAAAAUAAAAUAAAUAAUAUCAUAUUUAUUUGAAUAAUAUUAUUAUAUUUAUUUUAAAAAUAAUAAUACUAUAUUUAUUUAAUAUUAAUAAUUAAUAAUAAUAAAUAGUUUAUUCUAAGAAAAUAUUAAUUUUGUCCUAAAUAAUAUUAUAUUAUUAUUUUAUAUAAUAAUAAAUUUAAUAUAAUUAUAUUAAAUAAAAUAAAAUAAUGUUUCAUUUUAUAUUUACCCUUCUUUUUUACCCUCUUUUUAUUAAAUUUACUAUAAUUAUAUUUAAUAAAUAUUUAAAUAAUAUUAUAUUUAUUUAAAUAAUAUUAAUAUAUUUAACUAAAUAAUAAUUUGGUUUGAUUCUAAGUCUAAAUUACUUAAAAAUAAUAUUAUUAUAUUAAUACAGAAUUAAUAAUAUUACUUUUAUACCAUCUUUAUUUGAAAAUAUAUUAUUAUUAUUAUUAUAUUUAUUUAAAAAUAUUAGUAUUAUAUUUAUUUAAUAUUAAUAAUUAAUACUAAUAAAUAGUUUAUUCUAAGAAAAUAUUAAUUUCAUACUAUGUUAAUAGUAAAAUAUUUCAUUUAUAUUGCCCUUAUCAAUAAUUUUUAAUUUAUAUAAUUAAAAUUAAAAUUAAUAAAAAAAUGUGAUGUUCAUAAUUAAGAAUAUUAAUAAUUAUUAUAAAUUUACAAAUAUAAAUGUUUAUUCAUUAAAUAUAUUUUUUAUUAACUUUGUAAUUAAAAACUAUAAUUCUUUAAAUAAGGAUAAAAUUGUAAUUUGAAACUAUUUACUCCCAAUCCGAGACAAACUAAACACAUAAAUUGAAUUCUGAUCUCCAUUCCAUGCUUUCAUUUUAGUGUAAGUAAACAACAUACUCCCACUCCCAAUCCUAAGAUUCCCACUCCAAUUCAAAAAGUAAACGCUACCUAAAUACAAGUAAUCUUGCUUUCAGAUAUGAAUUAUCUGAUGGAUGUUGUAUUUUCAAGGUAUUGAGGAGAUUCCCCAAUAUUGAAAAAUUGCGUUCCCGUGCAUCAAAAGAUGAUCCCAUAGAAUUGCGUUCACCUGUGACAAAAGAGGAGCUUGUAGUUGAGGUAUGGAUUUUUAUAUUUCUUGGUUGUUUUUAUACUUGUUUCUCAUCAUAAUAGCAAAAGCAGUUUGUUCUGAGUGAUCUGUGUGGUCUCCUAUCAAUGACUGCCGUUUCUAUCAUUUAGUACUAUUGACUAUGUGUGUAUAAAUAUUUUGUUUUUACCAUGUAAUUUCAUAUUCGAUGCAUUUCUAAUACAUUGCAUAGCGUCCAUGAAUGGGAAUGAUAAAAUAAAUUUCAAGCGUGUUUCAAUAGAUGAAAAAACUUGGAACGAUUUAGAAGGAUUUGCUGAUUAAAUAAUUUUCCAAUUUGUUUGCUUGGAGGAAUUGAAUAGUUAACUGAUUAAAGGAUUUCAAGGUGGUUCGGUCCCGCUGGGCAUUGUCAAUAUCAACGGUCAUUAAUUCCUAUUAUCUGAAAUUGAAUUUCCAGUGUGGCAUGGUAACUUUCUGCUAGGGUGUGAUUGUAUAGUAGCCAAUUGUGAGCAACAGAUCCGCAUAGUAAUAUAGAUUGAAAUUUUGCAUCUUAAUCCAUGAAGAUAUAGAUUUUGGCAAUAUUAUACAAGCACUGGGGAUUACCUUAAAUAUUCUGGACUUGUCAUUGAUAGAGUUUCUUUUACCUAGUUAUUGAUAUUUCUUUCAAUUUUCUAUUUUACUCAUACAAUUUAUACAAUUUUAGGUGGCAAGACAACUUUCGUUUUCUAUUGAGCCUGAAAACCUGCAUCUACCAUCACCUCUAUCUGCUUUUCGAGAAUAUGAGGUUCCUAUGCGCUUACCCAAAGCCAUCCCCCUACCGGAAGGAAAGGUCCAAUGGAUUCUCAAUGUUAAAGUCCGCGGCAAAUAAAUAUUUUUUAGUUAAUUUUUUAAUCAAUAAAAAAAGGUAAUUAAAAAUGUAAUUAAUAAAUUACUUAUUAGCAAAUUAAAAAACAAAUAUUAGCAUAAAAUAAUUGAUAUUUCAUUCUCUUACAACAAUCUUACCAAUUAUUAUUUAUAAAUUAAUUAAUGCAAGUUAAUUUAAAGUAAUGUUUAAUAUUCUUGUAACAACCUUACUAAUAAUUUUUUGAUAAAAAAAUUAAUUUAUUAAAUUAAUCCUAGAAGUAAAAUAAUAAUAAUUAAUUUGUAUUUUAUUUUUAAGAUUAAUUUGAUAAAUUUAAUUUUUUUUAACUAAUAUCUCCAAGAAUAUAGUUGUAACGAUAUUAUUACAAAAGGAAAAAAAAUAUAAGAUUAUAAUAUAUUUACCAGUAAGAAUAAUUUAAAAUAUUUUUUAAGAUAUAAAAAUUAAACGGACACUUAAUUAAAAAAAAAAAAAAAAAACUAAAUAAGUAGUUAGCUUUUAACAUUUCAACCUAGUGGUCAUACAAUCAUGGUGCGGCCCGGGAUGGCUGGCCCAGCCCAUCAUGUAAAAAUCCAUGUCACCCUCAUUCUUAAGCUGCUACUCUGCCACUUGCCACGGAGCUCCCCACAUCAUACCGUACCGAUGCCUCUAGAAAGCUAACUUUAAAAAAAUGGUAUUAAUAAGCGUACGCCACGUCACUCCUCACUCUCUUCUUCGUCACUUUCCUCUCACUCAACAUUUUCUCCCCAAACAAAUUCCUUCUUUGAAAAAUCGCAUUUUCUCCUUCACAGCAACCGCUACAAUGUCUUCAACUUCCAAGAAGGUAAUUUUUUUAAAUUUUAUUUUUUGUUUAGUUUCUUUCUGUUGCCUUUUUGUUUCGUUUUUUGAAUUUUCUGUGUCGUUUUUUUUUUCCCAAGGUUUUGGUGCCUGUUGCGAACGGGAGUGAGCCGAUUGAAGCCGUGAUAACGAUCGAUGUUUUGAGAAGGUCUGGAGCUGACGUCACGGUUGCGUCUGUGGAUAAACAGCUUCGUGUCGACGCGUGUCAUGGUGUCAAGAUUGUCGCUGAUGCUCUCGUGUCUGACUGCCGCGACGCUGUUUCUGAUCUUAUAGCUCUGCCCGUAUGUAUUGCAGCUCACCUCAGCUCAUGCUAAUUUAUGUGAUGUUUGUAUAAUUAUAGAUGAUUACUGCUGAUACUGAAUGUUAAAGCUAAAUAAUUCGUUCUUAAGUCAUCUUCAUUUAAUUUUCGAUUGAAAAUGAAAAAAAAAAUAAUUUUAAGCAAAGAAAAUGUUUAUUUUGUUUUAUUUUUAUUUUUAAAUUUUUGGGAUUUCCUUAUUGUGACUGUUGUCAUUCAUUAUAUGGUCCUAGUUAAAUGUUUCAAGUUGUUGUAGUCUGUGAAACUCUUUUCGAUAUUUGUUCUGGCAUGUACAUUUUUCCUUUCAAUUUAUUUUGUUGCUGAUACUUUGAUUAUGAUAUAUCCUUUUUUGUUUCCCUUGUAGGGUGGCAUGCCCGGUGCUACCAAUCUGAAAGAAUCUGAAGUAUUAGAAACCAUUGUGAAGAAGCAGGCUUCAGCUGGGCGUCUUUAUGCUGCUGUCUGUGCUUCACCUGCUGUGGCAUUAGGGUCUUGGGGUCUGUUGAAGGGAUUGAAGGUAAGAAUUAGAUAAGCCUUUUUUUAUGUUUGGUGUUCUUUUGGGAAUUGCAUUGAUAUUUGUGUUAUACAUCAGUUUUGCUCUCACCGAUGAUUGUUAAGUUCUAAUUUAUGGGGUUAUUCAUUUUUUGUAGGCUACUUGUUACCCGUCAUUUAUGGAGCAAUUAGCUCCUGCUUGUGCAGCAACUGUUGAAUCAAGAGUACAGCAGGAUGGUAAAGUUGUUACGAGUCGUGGACCUGGCACUACUAUGGAGUUUGCCAUUGCACUUGUCGAGCAGUUGUAUGGGAAAGAGAGAGCUGAUGAAGUUUCUGGGCCACUGGUAGUAACUUUUAUAGAUAAUGUUGUUUAAAAAAAUUGUGAGUUAUAUAAUUUGUGGAAAUUCAUUCUAAUAGGUUCAUCUAGUAUGUCAAAUUGGAAGGUUCAGAUGCUAAUAUAUUCCAAAAAAUUUGUUCAGGGGAAAAGUAUGACUUUUUGCAUUAGAGAUUCAUUAGAUGAAGUUGUAUACCUGCUGGCCCAUCUUAAUGUGGUGAAAACGAUGUCUGAUGAGACUGAUAUAAUUAUUGGAAUCUUGAUAAAUGCAUUUGUUGAGCUUGAAUGUCUCCACUGAUCACGUUCUUUUUAAUGUAAGUUCUUUCUCUUGGUAUUUGUCUUUGAAUCUUCUCUUCCUCAUGCUUUCGUCUUCACUGUCACCUUGUGCCUAGGUAAUGCGUGCAAAUCAUGGAGAUGAAUACACUAUUGCUGAAUUCAAUCCAAUUCAGUGGACAUUUGACAAUUCUCCCCAAGUAAGAUUUGACUUCUAGUUUCUUGUAGUUGUUUUUCUUCAUCCGAUGUUUUCAGGGAUACCCAUUUGGCAGUAUAUAAAAGUCUGUGAUAUCUUCUAUACAUAUACAUCAUUGGCUUCAGUCAUUUUCGAACAUAUUGGAGGUAGUAGAUGUAUUUUUAUGAUAUCUCUAAUAAAAUCCCAAGUUUGAUCAAUUACAAAAGAAGUAUGAGCGGUGCUGGACCGGGGGGGAAGAAGAAGUGGGGGGUCGGUGUGGUGGGGGUGUGCAGUGCAUGAAUAAAAGGAAAUGAUAGGGGGUGAAAGUUUGUGCUACCGACAUGCUGUAAAAUGGGGACAUAAUAUUUCAAAUUAGAUAUUGUGUGAUCCUUAAUAUUGCUGACUUUUGCUUAAAAUGGAAUUCUUGAUAACUUCAAAUGUUAAAGUUCUUGGUGAAAUUUUGUACUUUCUUUUCUUUCAGAUUCUUGUGCCUAUUGCAAAUGGUUCAGAGGAGAUGGAAGCUGUUAUGAUAAUUGAUAUUCUGCGACGAGCUAAAGCAAAUGUUGUAGUUGCAUCAGUUGAGGAUAAACCAGAAAUUCUGGCUUCUCGUCAAAUUAAAUUAGUGGCAGAUGUGCUCAUUGAUGAGGCGGCUAAACUCUCGUAUGAUUUAAUUGUCUUGCCAGUGAGUUGGGGUGCUUACUGUUGCUUCAUAGUCUUUACCACAUAAUUGACUUACUAACUACAAUUUAUCCAUGCACAUUGCAUAGGGUGGACUUGGUGGCGCUCAAGCAUUUGCGAAGUCAGAGAAAUUGGUGAAUAUGCUAAAGAAGCAAAAGGAAUCAAAUAGACCUUACGGUGCUAUAUGUGCAUCCCCAGCUUUAGUGUUGGAGCCCCAUGGCUUACUCAAGGUACGACCAUUUCUGCUUAAAUUAUUUACUCAGAUUUGGAUCACCUAAUCUGAACUUGAUGAAGGAUUAUGAUGUUGUGUGAUUUUAUGAAUGUGGUCUUAUCUCAUGUAAGUCGGUGAUGAAUUAAUUGAAGUUUGCUGACAAAUUAGAAACUGAAAAACUGCUGCUGCUUCGUUAGUUACAUUACCCAAAGAGUUAAAAUAAACAUCCCAAAUUUUUUGUCCCAAAUUCUGUCCCAAAUGAUAUGGCAUUUAUUGAGUGAUUGUAUUAUCUAACCAACCAAUUGAUGAAUGACACAUCAUUUGAGAUGGUUUUUUGGGAUAAAGAAUUUGGGAUUUUUACCCGCAAAAAUCCCAAGUACUUCCUGCUCCUGCAAUAUCAUUGCUGUGUAUUUGUUUUCCCCUUAGACAUAUUCAAUUGUGGUUCAGGGUAAAAAAGCUACAGCUUUUCCUGUUAUGUGCAACAAGCUGUCAGAUCAGAGUGAAAUCGAAAACAGGGUUGUGGUUGAUGGCAACCUCAUCACCAGUAGAGGGCCAGGAACUUCUAUGGAGUUUGCACUGGCAAUUGUGGAGAAGUUUUUUGGCCGCAACAAGGCACUUGAGCUUGCAAAGAUAAUGCUUUUCACUCGCACCUAACAUUUGUACGGGGACCUGACUACUAUUAAACUAGUGUGUUUAUUUCUGUAUUGCUACUGCUUGUAGAGAGGGGAAAUGGAAACUUGAAUUCAUGUUUGAAUAUGGAUUCACUGUGUGGGUUUGUACAGCAGUUUGAUUUAUAAAUAAAUGAGUUCAAAGAGUUACUUCAAAUAUUCGGAAUAAACCUGAGUUUAGUUCUGUUAUCAAUGGUCGGAGUCCAAUUGCGAUCGACACACUGGGAAUUUUAAUUAUGAACUAAAAAAUUGUUAUGUUAUAUUCCACCUUUCUCAUAAAAUGUUAACUCGAUUUACAGGAUAAGAAGGAAAAGAAAGACGCUAAGAGAGGAGCAGAGACCCAAAAAGAGUUGACCACUUUGUUGGAACAUAAACCUCUAGAAUAUUGAAAUAAAACACAUACCAUAUCUAGUAUUAAGUAUGUAUAUGCAAGAAGAUACAAAUUUGAAGAUCAGAUUUCUCAUUUCAAUUUAUGUUCUGCUUAGAGCAAUGGCUCUUAUUCCACAAGCACAAACAGGAAAGAGUACGCACGAAGUUAAGAAACACACAUUGCAAAAGUUGCAUUAACUACUUGCAGCAGCAUCAUCCAAGAACUUGACUUUAAUCUUCUUGAGCUUCGCUGCGGCAUCUGUCAUAUGCAUUCUCUUGUCAGGUGACUCUAUACAACAAUCCAAAGCCAAAUCCAUGAUGCUUAAUAAACAAUCCAUUUUGGCAGAAAAAGCUUGCUCUUCUCGCACCAAAUUUGCGUCAACAACUUCAGUCAAUCCGUGAGGUAAAGACUCCUUUACCCAUCUCCUUAAACUCAUUUCUCCUGCGAACAUUUCAUCGGUGGGCCUCUUUCUCGUGAAGGUUUCCAUCAAUAAAACACCAUAGCUGUAGACAUCACAUUUAGCUGAAACAAUUCCUUCUGAUCCAUACUCUGCAUUUUUUAAUUUUAAUUAUGAAACAAAUGAUAAAACAAAUAAUUUUUUGAUAAUUAAGGUAACCCAAACUUUGCUCGUGCUUGAAAAAAGAGUAAAAAUUUUAAUUACAAUUGAAACUUUACCUGGUGCCAUAUAACCAAUUGUAGCCAUUGUCAUGGUUUGUGUCACAGAAUCUUCUCCUUCACCUAAGAGUUUGGAAAUGCCGAAGUCGCUCACAUGUGCCACCAUAUUUUCAUCCAAGAGAAUGUUGGUGGGCUUCAAAUCACAAUGAAUUAUAGGUGCCGACGAAUGACCAUGAUGGAGAUAUUCAAGGGCCGACCCCACAUCUAUCAUUAUGUUCAACCUCUCUAGGAUGUCUAAGAAAUAGUUGUGAGAAUAUAACCACUUCUCGAGACUACCAUUUGGCAUGAACUCAAGUACCAAUGCUUUAAAAUCUUGAUUAGAACAACUGCUAAGGAUCUUUAUGAGAUUUCGAUGACGAACAUUCAGUAAAACUUCACAUUCAGAAUCAAAACUCCUAAAUGCUCUCUCUAGUUGCAGAUUGAAAACCUUUAUCGCAACAUCAGUCCCGUCGGAAAUGGUUCCUUUAUAAACUGAUCCAAAGCUACCUGUACCAAGCAAGUUACAUUCAUUAAAUUCAUCAGUUGCUCGUUGAAUGUCUAGGUAGGAUGUUCUUCUCCAUGUUGCAAGAGGUAGGAAAUCUUCGUGAUCUGAUUUUUUUGUACUCCUCUUUCGGCAUCUUAUGUACAUAAUGAUGAUAAUCACUAUAAGUACAGAGGAUACUAUCGGAGGCAAAAUAUAUUUAAGGACAAUUAGAGCAACGUUUUUGGUGCUUUUGCUGUCACCUUGUUUGCAAGGUGGGACUCGGAAUUUAGGUGGACCACAGAGUGCAUAAUUUCCGAAAAAUGAUUCAGCUGACAAGUUUUUAAAAGACCCCUUAACAGGAAUUUCCCCUUCUAGCCUAUUAUGAGACACAUUAAAUUGUUUGAGAUGUGAAAGUGUCUCCAAUGACUUAGGAAUUUUUCCAGAGAGAUUGUUGCCAGAGAGAUCUAAGGAUUCUAAGCUUAUCAAACUACCAACUGAUUCAGGAAUAGGUCCUUGAAAUUGAUUACUAGCCAAUGAUAGAGUUUCUAUAUCUUUGAGGGCACCGAUGGUUGAUGGAAUAUCACCUGAUAAUUGAUUCCUUGAUAAAUCUAAAACUCUCAAGACCUUUAACUUUUGUACAUUGGAAGGGAGAGAAUCAUUUAACGAAUUUGACGACAAGUUUAUCUCUAAGAUGUACUCAAGGCUCCACAAGGAUGACGGUAUACUAGAAGUGAGCUUGUUGGAGCCUAAGUGGAGUUCUCUUAGAGAUGUCAGACUCGCCAAGCAUGGUGGUAUAUGUCCAGAGAGCUUAUUUCCAUUUAACAUUAUUCCGUACAUCAACUCCAAGUGGCAAAGAUCAUAGGGAAUGGAUCCUUCCAAAUUAUUUUCUUCAAGAGAUAAACCUUGUAGCCGCUUAAGUCUUCCCAUCGUUGGUGAAAUAGUUCCAUUCAAGUCAUUGAAGCCGAGGCUUAAGAGGAUCAGGCCACGCAACUUACCAAUUUCUUUAGGAAUGCUGCCCCCGAGUUUGCAGUUGGAUGCAUAAAAUUGUCGAAGAGAAGCAGAGAAAUUUCCAAUUACUGGUGGAAGGAUGCCACCCAAUGGAUUAUAAGCUAAGGCUAAAACUGUUAAAUUUCUGCAAUUAGUCAGAGAAGAGAGAAAACUCCACUGAUCUGCUGAAGAUGAUUCUGUCGUCAAGUUAUUAAAUGCUAAGCCAAGCACGCCGAGGUGUCUCAAGUUGCCAAAUGUAUUUGGAAUAUGGCCUGAGAAUGAGUUAAAGCUCAAUUCUAGGCCAAUGAGUUUAGAAGCGUUUGUGAUGGAGUUGGGAAUUUUUCCGGUAAGGUUAUUGGCCGCCAAGGUUAAAUACUCUAUGCUCGGAAGCGAGUGGCCAAUCGUUGAUGGUAAGUGGCCUGAAAGUUGAUUGCUAAUUAGAUUAAGGACUGUUAGGGUUGAAAUGUUGAAGAUUGUGGGUGGAAUGGGGCCACUUAAAUUAUUCGCACUAAGAACAAGGGUAUCCAAAUUUUGUAGAUUGCCAAUCUCAGUUGGAAUUUGACCUGUCAUAAAGAUAAACGCCAAAUUGAUGAGUUAUUGAGCUUUUUACUUAACAUAAAUUUUAAUUUCAUAACGCAUGAAAAUCAAAUUUGCCCACAAAAUGUGUGUUAUUAGUUUUAUAAUUUUUUUUUGGGUUUUUUUUGGGGGGGGGGGGGGGGAGAUUGAUAUUGCUACCUCAUAAUUUUUGUAAAACCCCACCCGCUUUCAGAGAAUUAUUGGAACAAGAUUCUUAAAAAAAUUCAAAUAAAGAAGAAGUUUGGAGAAAUAAUCAAUUAAAUCCAUCUUAAUAUACUUUUUGAAACUUAUAUUCUUUUAUCAUAUAUAAUAACUAAGGUUGCUUUAACAUAAAUUUAAUAUAACUAGUCUACUCUCAUAAGGUAGAAUUACUAAAAUACCCACAAAUUUACUUCAACUUCAACUAAACUAACAAAAUGUAUUUGUUGACAUGUGGGGAACUAAAAAUUAUUGAAUUUUAUUUUAGAAAUAUUGUAUUACAAAACAUAAAACAAAAUGCCGAAACUAUAUAUUAGAUACAAUAGUACAUGUUUUUCGGGGUAAUUUGGUCAUUUUAUAUUAUAAGAGUAAAAUAGUCAAAUUAAACUUAUUUUAAAGCAACCGUAAACGGUCAAAGAUUGUUAAAAGCCCUAAGUCAUAAAAGAAAAACAUUAUAAAAAUAAUUUAUUAAUUGUUCAGACUUAAUUUAUAAUUUUAUAACAUAAUGUGAACUUAUUAUAACUAUCUUUUCAAAAUGAGGUGGGUUUGCAAGAAUAAUGAGUGGAAAUAUCCCCACCCUAUAAAAUAAAAAGAAUUUUGCAGCUAUGCAAAUGCAAAUAUGUAGAACGUACCUUGUAGGUUGUUAUAACCUAGAUUCAGAAUGAAAAGGCUGCUAAAAUUUCCUAUCCCUGAAGGAAUAUUUCCAUCAAUAACGUUGUAGAUUGCGUCGAACACCUCCAGCUUCGAUAAAUUGAGGAGAGAAUUUGGGAUUGGACCCGUGAAACUGUUAUUAUAAAGCCUCAACGUUUGUAAUUUGGAUAAGACACCAAUCCAUGUUGGAAUGCUUCCACUCAAUUUAUUGAAACCGAAUCUAAUGAAUCUGAGUCGGCGUAAUUGCCCCAAUUCAUUAGGCAGAUGGCCAUGAAAAUUAUUAUGAGCAACAUCAAGAGAUACUAAGAACGUGAGAUUUCCCAAGUGUAGUGGAAUGGUGCCUCCGAGACCCAUAUCUGAAAGAUUCAAGGCAGUGACUCUUUGAUGGCGUGAACCACAAGAGAUACCAACCCAGCUACAUAUUGGAUAAGAUAUAGACCAAUUAUUUGUCAGAUCACUUCGAUAAUCAACGACACGGGCUUUGAAUGCAAGAAGAGCCGAUUGAUCUGUUGUUAAGUUGCUCAAAGUCGUCAUAGCUAAGCUAGCUAUGGAAUAUUGUACCAACAACAUAGGAACAAAGAAGAAUGAUAAGCACAUAUUGGUCGUUUUUUUUUAUAGAUGCAGCAAUCUAAUUGCUAGGUGAAGUUGAUACAAGUUUUAAGUGAAGGAAACUAGCAUAUACUUAUACAAGAGACGUAUGAAUUUGAAAACAAGAAAAGAAAAAAAUGUACAGGAGAGUGGAGACAUGCAAAUUGGUAUAUUUCAUCAUUGAGCGAGUCGUCCAAGUAAACUCAUACAGACCUGUAAAUUGUUAUAGGCCGCGGUACUUGAACCGUGAAUAAAGGGCUUAUGGCACUUGACUUACCAAAAAGAAGAAGAUGCUCAACAUUGGCAAGGCCUAUGCAUUCUGUCCAUUUGUUCACGUUUUGCCAAGGCUCAGGGCAACCACAAUAUGUUCUUUUUCUUCCCUCUUAAAACAAAAAACAAAAAAAAAAGACGACAUUUACAUUUGGGCUAAUAAUUAUAACUAAACAAUUAAUAAUACUGAGGGUCAGUGGUAAUGUAGCUUUAAAAUAAUUGUUAUUAGUUGUGUCUUAAAAAUAAAGAAAAAAAAUAACUAUACCCAUAUAAUUAAUAAAAUAAUCAUGUAAAUUCCUAAGCUUUUAACAAUAUACACCAAGACCCCCUACCGUUACUUUUUACCAUUUAUUUGGAUGUCACAUGCUUUUUUUUUUUAAUUUUCACAGUGGAUAUCAAAUGCUAAAUUUACUGUUAUUCCCAUAUCAUGUCAUCACUUGCUUCUACACACAUUGAUUGUUUUUCCAAAGUUUCAAAUUGAAUUAAAAACAUUCUAAUUAACCUAAAAAAAACUCAUCCAACCAGAUAUAAAUCAUCUAAUUAACCUAAAGAUAGCUACACCCCCAUAUUAAUUCCAAUUAAAUAAAAUUCAUUUUUGUCAUGAUUUUGGAUCUCGAGCAGGGUGGAUAUAUCCAACUAGAUCCGCCCCAUUGGCAUUCCAGUAUAUUCUGUAAUUGGAAGAGUAUGAAUGACUUAAUUUGUAAUUUUAAAUUUGUAACGUUCAAUUCUAAUUUGAGGAUUCAAAUGAAUUUAUGCGAAUCUAAAAGGGGACUGAAGAUUGGCAUGCAUACAUGCAUACAUAUACAUAUAUAUAUAAAUAGAGAGAGAGAGAGAGAGAGAGAGAGAGAGAGGUAAUAUAACAUUCUUCUUGAUGAAGAUUUUUGUGCCAUACGAAUUAAAGAGAGUAUUGUGUCGAUGUUCGAGGCUAGAGCGACAAUUGGUUACAUUGCUUCAGAGGUGUUUAGUAGAAACUUUGGUGAGGCAUCACAUAAUUUAAAUUACUAGAUUUAGCGAGAUAUAUAUAUUUUCCACAUUGGAUUUACAAGCAUUUCGAGCAGUAUAAUGAAUUAAAAUUACUCGGAAUUGUAAACAGCGAGGAAAGUGAAAUUGCUAAGAAGAUGAAUAUUUUGUUGUUUUGUGGUGUACACGGACUCGUCCAUCGGAUAGGUCGCCCAUGAACAGAGGGAUAGAAAUGUUAUUGCCAAGAAGCAGACUGACUAGCAGUGACGCUUUGAAAAGUCCACCGGACAUCGUCUCCUCCAAGACCACCAAUAGAUUCUUCCACCAUUUCAACGUCGUGACGUGGGGAUCGGAAUUGAAUUAUAGGAUGCUUGUAAGUUUCCUUUGUGGAACUUGUGAAUUUGUGAUGGCAAAAGUCAAUGAUGCAUGUAACUAGCUAGCCCGUGUAGACUCCGUUUUACACUUUUUCAAAACCCAAAAGCACGCUAAAUCUUAAUCUUAAAAGAAUUUUUGAUUCAGUGCUGAAUUUUGGGCUUAUCUUUAAGUAAUCUUUUACCACGCAUGCAUUUUUGUCAUUGUGCAGUCAUCGAUUGCUUCUAAAGAUCGUAAUCCUUAAGAAAAAAUUACUUCUCUUGAAAGUGAAAGCAGGGCAGCUAUUGGCGUAUUGCAUUGCAGCUGCUAUGUGUAGUAGUCAAUUCUUGGAAACAACUAGUUUUCUUAAAUUGUAAACGGUCCCCUUUAUGACUGGGAGAUUUUGAACAAAAUUAAUAUGACGAAUUCUUUGCAGGUGUUGUUCCUUGAAGUCUCAUCUUUCACAAUGUUUCUGAAAUAAAGAUAUUACCAUCUCUGAUUUAAUAUUUAUUCUUGAUUUGUACCACCUAAUCUGAACUUGAUGAAAGAAUAAAGAUUAUGAUCUUGCCUGAUUUUAUUAAUGUGGUCUUAUCUCACGUAAGUCAGUAAUGAAUUAAGGAAAAUUAUCAUUCGUAUACCCUAUAAUUGCUCUGUUAUAAAAAAUACUACAACACUUUGAGGGUGUAUCAAUUGUCCACCCUAAGUUAACAAAAUGUAUCUGUCAUCCACCAAACCGUUAUUUGCCGUUUAAAUAGAAUGACACCAGAGGGGUAAUUUUAUCUUUUCAUAUGAUACAAGUGAUAAUUUAAGGGUAUACAAGUGAUAAUAAAAGAAUUUAAAGGUAUACAAGUGAUAAUUUUAUUUACUUUAAUUUAAGUUUCAAGGGUAAAAUCGUCAAUUCACUAUAAUUCCGUUAACUUUCAAACGGUAGCUAACGGUUUGGUGGUCGGCAGAUAGCUUUUGUUAAUUUAAGGUGGACGAUUGAUAUACUCUCAAAGUGUUGUAGUAUUUUUGAUAAUAGAGCAACUAUAGGAUAUAUGAUUGAUAAUUUCCCAUGAAUUAAUUAAAGUUUACUGUCAAAUUACAAACACAAAAACUGCUGCUGCUUCAUUAUUCACAAUACCUAAAGUCAGUGCAGAACUUAAUAAGUUUUCCAAAAGUUUUACGCUUUCUUUCCCCCAAAUCCCAAGUACUUACUAGAUAUGUCAUGUUUAUACCCAAAGUCAGUGCAGAACUUACUCGAUAUGUCAUGUUUACACAAGAGUUUGUUUAUAAAUAAAUGAGUUGACAAAUAUUUGCCAAAAAAAACGGUGAGUGAUGUCUAGUUCUAUUUUCACAGUUCAGAGUCCAAUUUUGAUUACUGGAAAUUUUAAUUAUGAAGUUGAACUAAGAAUUUGUUAUAAUAUCUUCAACCUUCCUAUACAGUCAUCUGGAAUAAUAAUAUAUCAAAAACAGUAAUAACUCGAUUUACAGGGUGAGAAAGAAAAGAAAGACGCUACGAGGGAAGCAGAGAUUCAAAGACUUCGCCACUUUGUUGGAGGAACAAUUUCAUAAAUCUCCAGAAUAUUGACAUAAAACACAUAACAUACAUAUCUAGCAUUAAGUAUAUUUAUGUAUGUCCAAAGAUAAAAAUUUGAAGAUUAAAUUUAUCAUUUCAAUUUAUGUUCUGCCCAAAGCAAUGGCUUUUAUUCCACAAGCACAAACAAGAAAGAGUACGCACAAAGUUAACAAACACACAUAGCAAACGUGACAUCAACCACUUGCAGCAGCAUCAUCCAGAAACUUCACUCUAAUCUUCUUGAGCUUUUCAGCGGCGUCUUUCGUAGAUGCCCCCUGUUCUGGUGAUUCCAUGCAACAAUCCAAUGCCGAAUGCAUGAUGCUUAAUAAACAAUUCAUUUUAGGAGAAAAAACUUGCUCUUCUCUCACCAAGUUUGCAUCGACAACAUCACUCAAGGCACGAGGUAAUGACUCCCUUACCCAGUCUCUUAAACUUAUUUCUCCUGUAAACAUUUCAUUUGUGGGAUUCUUUCUGGUGAAAGUUUCCAUCAAUAAAACACCAUAACAAUAGACAUCACCUUUGGCCGAAAUCAUUCCUUCUAAUCCUUACUCUGCAUUUUUUUGGUUUCGAUAGAUCAAAUGGAUGUGACAUCAUAAAACAAAUGAUAAACAAAUAGUCUUUUGACAGUCAAGAUGGCCCAAACUUUGACUGUGCUUCGAAAAGAGCGAAAAUUUGAAAUUAUAAUUGAAACCUUACCUGGUGCCAUAUAACCAGUUGUAGCCACUGUCAUGAUUUGGGUCACAGAAUUUUCUUCAUCACCUAAGAGUUCGGAAAUGCCGAACUCACAUGUGCCACCAUAUUUUCAUCCAAGAGAAUGUUGCUAGGCUUCAAAUCACAAUGAAUUACAGGUGCUGAUGAAUGAUCGUGAUGGAGAUAUUCAAGUGCCAGCCGCACAUCUAUCAUUAUAUUCAACCUCUCUAGGAUAUCUAGGAAAUAGUUGUGUGAACACAACCAUUUCUCAAGACUACCAUUGAGCAUGAACUCAAGCACCAGUACUUUAGAAUCUGGAUUGCAACAGCUGCUAGUGAUCUUUGUGAGAUCUUGAUGACGAACAUUCCACAAUACUUCACAUUCAGAAUCAAAACUCCUAAAGGCUCUCUCUAGCUGCAGAUUGAAAACCUUUAUUACAAUAAUAGUCACAUCAUAAAGUGUGCCUUUAUAAACAGAUCCGAAGCUCUCCAUACCUAGCAGGAUACAUUCACUAAAUCCAUCAGCUGCUCGUUGAAUAUCAUGAUAGGAUAGUCUUCUCCAUGUUGUCGAAGAGAACAAAUCUUCUUUAUCUGGAGUUCUUGUUUUCCUAUUUUGAAAUAUUAUGAAGAAUCAUAACAAUUGUUAUUAGUGCAUUGGAUAUAAUCGAAGGCAAAGUAUAUUUCAGGACAAGCAGAGUAGCAUUCUUGGAUCCUUUGCUAUUAUCUUCUUUGCAAGGUGGGACUUGAAGGCCUGGUGGACCACAUAGUGCAUAAUUCUCAAAAAACGAUUGAGCUGAAAUGUUUUUAAAAGGUCCUUUGAUAGGAAUUCCCCCUUCUAGCCUAUUGUGAGACACAUUAAGUUGUUUGAGAUAUGAGAGUGCCUCCAUUGACUUUGGAAUUUCUCCAGAGAGAUUGUUGCUAGGGAGAUCCAAAGAUUCCAACCUUAUCAAACUACCAAAUGAUUUAGGGACCAGACCAUAAAAUUGGUUUCUAGCCAAGGACAAAGUUGCUAGAUCUUUGAGGCCACCAAUACUUACUGGUAUAUCACCUGAUAAUUGAUUUCUUGAUAAAUCAACUCUAUUAAGACCUUUAAGUUUUGUACAUCUGAAGAUAGAUGACCACUUAGAGAAUUUGUUGACAAGUUUACAUACAAGAUGUACUCAAGAUUCCACAAGGAUGAUGGGAUACUAGAAGUGAGCGUGUUGCAGCUUACAAAGAGUGUUUUUAAGGAAUUGAAUAUCUGAAAUCUUGUAUGUAAAUAUUAACACUUAGAGAAUUUGUUGACAAGUUUUUAAGGAUUUACUGAUUAAAUAAUUUUCCAAUUUGUUUGCCUGGAGGAAUUGAAUAGUUAACUGAUUAAAGGAUUUCAAGGUGGUUAGGUCCAGCCGAGCAUUGUAAAUAUUAACGGUCAUUAUGAAUGUGUAAUUCCUAUAUGUGAAAUUGAAUUUCCAUGGUAAAUUUCUGCUAGGGUGUGAUUGUAUGGUAGCCAAUUGUGAGCAACAGAUCCACAUAGUAAUAUAGACUGAAAUUUUGCGUCUUAAGCCAUGAAGAUAUAGAUUUUGGCAAAUAUUAUACAAGCAUUGUUUGCAACACCACAGCUAAUUUGCAGUAGGAUGAAACACUCAGAAUUUUGCCUUUUUCAUGUAUAAAAUUUUAUUUUUUUAAUUGUGAUAUUACAGUUUUGCCCAUCAAGCAUUAUGAAGCUUAAUAUUUGGAUAAAUGUUAGGUUUAAUCUAUAAAUUUUAACUUCAGUGUUUAUUUAGUUUUUAUAUUUUGUAAAAUAUCUCAAGGCAGCCCUAUUAUCAAAUAUUGGCUUGAUCCGUAUAUAUUAACUUCAGUGCUUUAUUUAGGUUUUAUAUUUUGAAAAAUACUUUAAGGCAGUUCUAUUAUCAAAUAUGUUAUGCUCUUGCUUUUAUUUUUUCUUUGUUUUUAUAAUAAUACUCUGAUAACAAUAUUUUUUUACAUUAAUUUUUUAAUCAAUAAAAAGGUAACUAGCAAAUUAACUGAUAAAUUAAUUUGUUAAUUUUUUUAAUCAAUAAAAAAUUUAAUUAAUAAAUUACUUGGUAGCAAAUUAAAAAAUAAAUAUUAGCAUAAAACAAUUGAUAUUUUUCAUUCUCUUACAACAAUCUUACUAAUAAUUUUUUUAUAAAAAAUUAAUUUAUUAAAUUAAUCCUUAAAAGUAAAAUAAUAAUAAUUAAUUUGUAUCUUAGUUUUAAAGUUAAUUUGAUAAAUUCAAUUUUUUAAUUAAUAUCUCCAAAAAUAUAGUUGCAACGAUAUUAUUGCAAAAGUAAAAAAAAAAAUAUAUAUAGAAUUUUAAUAUAACUGCCAGUAAAAAUAACUUGAAAUAUUUUUUAAGAUAUAAAAAUUAAACCAACACUUAAUUAAAAAUAUAAAGAAUUAAAUAAACAUUUAUCUUCUAACAUUUCAACCUACUGGCUAAUGGUCAUACAAUCGUGGUGUGGUCCGGGAUGCCCGGCCCAGCCCAUCAUGCAAAAAGCCAUGUCACCCAUAUUCUUAGGCUGCUACUGCAUUAAAAAAAUGAUAUUAAUAAGCGUACGCCACGUCACUCCUCACUCUCUUCUUCGUCACUUUCCUCUCACUCAACAUUUUCUCCCCAAACAAAUUCCUUCUUUGAAAAAUCGCAUUUUCUCCUUCACAGCAACAGCUACAAUGUCUUCAACUUCCAAAAAGGUGAUUUUUUUUUAAUUUUAUUUUUUGUUUAGUUUCUUUCUGUUGCCUUUUUGUUUCGUUUUUUGAAUUUUCUGUGUCGUUUUUUUCCCCCAAGGUUUUGGUGCCUGUUGCGAACGGGAGUGAGCCGAUUGAGUCCGUGAUAACGAUCGAUGUUUUGAGAAGGUCUGGAGCUGACGUCACGGUUGCGUCUGUGGAGAAACAGCUCCGUGUCGACGCGUGUCAUGGUGUCAAGAUUGUCGCUGAUGCUCUCGUGUCUGACUGCCGCGACGCCGUUUUUGAUCUUAUAGCUCUUCCCGUAUGUAUUGCAGCUCUCCUCAGCUCGUGCUAAUUUAUGUGAUGUUUGUAUAAUUAUAGAUGAUUACUGCUGAUACUGAAUGUUAAGCUAAAUAAUUCGUUCUUAAGUCAUCUUCAUUUAAUUUUCGAUUGAAAAUGAAAAAAAUAAUAAUUUUAAGCAAAGAAAAAUAUAGAAAAUGUUUAUUUUGUUUAAUUUUCAAUUUUUAAUUUUCAGGGAUUUCAUUAUUGUGACUGUUAUCAUUCAUUAUAUGGUCAUAGUUAAAUGUUUCAAAUUGUUGUAGUCAGUGAAAUUCUUUUCGAUAUUUAUUCUGGCAUGUAUAUUUUUCCUUUUCAAUUUCUUUUGUUGCUGAUUCUUUGAUUAUGUUAUAUCCUUUUUUGUUUCCCUUGUAGGGUGGCAUGCCCGGUGCUACCAAUCUGAAGGAAUCUGAAGUAUUAGAAAGCAUUGUGAAGAAGCAGGCCUCAGCUGGGCGUCUUUAUGCUGCUGUCUGUGCUUCACCUGCUGUGGCAUUAGGGUCUUGGGGUCUGUUGAAGGGAUUGAAGGUAAGAGUUAGAUAAGCCUUUUUGAUGUUUUGUGGUCUUUUGGGAAUUGCACUGAUAUUUUUGUUAUGGUUCAGUUUUCUUCUCGCUGAUGAUUGUUAAGUUCUAAUUUAUGUAGUUGUUCAUUUUUCCUAGGCUACUUGUUAUCCGUCAUUUAUGGAGCAACUAGCUCCUGCUUGUGCAGCAUGUUGAAUCAAGAGUACAGCAGGAUGGUAAAGUUGUUACGAGUCGUGGACCGGGCACUACCAUGGAGUUUGCCGUUGCACUUGUUGAGCAGUUGUAUGGGAAAGAGAAAGCUGAUGAAGUUUCUGGGCCACUGGUAUUAGCUUUUAUAGAUAACGUUGUUUAAAAAAAUUAUGAGUUAUAUAAUUUGUGGAAGCUUCAGAUGCUAAUGUAUUCAAGAAAAUAAGUUCAGGGGAAGAGUAUGACUUUUUGCAUUAGUGAUUCAUUAGAUGAAAUUGUAUACCUGCUGGUCCAUCAUAAGGUGGUGAAAACAAUGUUUGAUUUAAUUAAUGAAAUCCUGAAAUAUGCAUUUGUUGAGCUUCAAUGUCUCCACUGAUAAAAUUCUUUUUAAUGUAAGUUCUUUCUCUUGGUAUUGUAUUUGAAUUUUCUGUUCCUCAUGCUUUCGUCUUUACUGUCACCUUGUGCCUAGGUAAUGCGUGCAAAUCAUGGAGAUGAAUACACUAUUGCUGAGUUCAAUCCAAUUCAGUGGACAUUUGACAAUUCUCCUCAGGUGAGAUUGGACUGUUAGUUUCUUGUAUUUGUUUUUCUUCUUCCAUGUUUUGAGGGAUACCCAUUUGGCAGUAAAUAAAAAUCUGUGAUAUCUUCUAUACAUGUACAUAUACAUCAUUGACUUCACUCAUUUGUGAACAUAUUGGAGGUAGUAGAUUUAUUGUUAUGAUAUGUCUAAUAAAAUCCAAAGUUCGAUGCAACUACAAAAGAAGUAUGAGCAGUGCUCGACCAGAGAGGAAAAAGGUGGUUUUUUUCUUUUUUUUUUUUGGGGGGGGGGGGGGGGUUGGUUGGGUGGCAAAGGGAAUGAUAAGUUCAGGGUAUCAACAAGCUGUAAAAUGGCUAUCGAAAAACUGAUAUUUCACAUUAGAGAAUGUGAGGACCUGAAGAUUGCUGACUUGUGGUCAAAAUGGAAUUCUUGAUAACUUUAAAUGUUAAAAAUUCUUGGUGAAAAUUUUGUACUUUUUUUUCUUUCAGAUUCUUGUGCCUAUUGCGAAUGGUUCAGAGGAGAUGGAAGCUGUUAUAAUAAUUGAUAUUCUGCGACGAGCUAAAGCAAAUGUUGUGGUUGCGUCAGUUGAGGAUAAACUAGAAAUUCUGGCUUCUCGUCAAGUUAAAUUAGUGGCAGAUAUGCUUAUUGAUGAGGCAGCUAAACUUUCGUAUGAUUUGAUUGUCUUGCCAGUAAGUGGGGUUGCUAACUCUUGCCUCAUAGUCUUUACCAAAUUAUUGACUUACUAGCUACAAUUUAUCUAUGCACAGGGUGGACUUGGUGGUGCUCAAGCAUUUGCGAAGUCAGAAAAAUUGGUAAAUAUGCUAAAGAAGCAAAAGGAAUCAAAUAGACCUUACGGUGCUAUAUGUGCAUCCCCAGCACUAGUGUUGGAGCCCCAUGGCUUACUCAAGGUAUGACCAUUUCUGCUUAAAUAUUUAUUCUUGAUUUGAAUCACCUAAUCUGAACUUGAUAAAACAUUGUGAUCUUGUGUGAUUUUAUGAACGUGGUCUUAUCUCAUGUAAGUCUGUAAUGAAUUUAUUGAAGUUUGCUGACAAAUUACAAACUCAAAAACUGCUGCUGCUUCAUUAGUUACAGUACCCAAGGAGUUAUGAUAGACAUCCCAAACUUUUUACCCCAAAUUCCCUCUCAAAUGACAUGGUAGUUAUUAAGUGGUUGGUAAUUUUUUAUAAGAUAUAAGUGAAUUAAUUAAUUAUAUUAUUUAAUCAACCAAUUGAUGAAUGUCACGCCAUUUGAGAUGAAUUUUUGGGAUGUGUAGCAAAACUUUAUGCUGAUUUGUUUUGGCUACAUUCAUGUAAAACAUUUUUCCCCAAAUCCCAAGAACUUCCCGCAAUAUCAUUCCUUUGUAUUUGUUUUCCCCUUUAGACAUGUUUAACUUUGGUUCAGGGUAAAAAGGCUACGGCUUUUCCUGCCAUGUGCAACAAGCUAUCAGAUCAAAGUGAAAUCGAAAACAGGGUUGUGGUUGAUGGCAACCUUAUCACCAGCAGAGGGCCAGGAACUUCCAUGGAGUUUGCACUGGCAAUUGUGGAGAAGUUUUUUGGCCGCAACAAAGCACUUGAGCUUGCAAAGAUAUUGCUUUUCACCCGCACCUAAAAUUUGUACCAGGACCCGACUAAUAUUAAACUAGAGUGUUUAUUUCUGUAUUACUACUGCUUGUAGAGAGGCGAAAUGGAAACUUGAAUUCAUGUUUGAAUAGGGAUUCACUGUGCGGGUUUGUACAAGAGCUUGUUUAUAAAUAAAUGAGUUCAUAAAGAGUCAUUUUAAAUAUUUGGAAUAAACGUGAGUUGCUGUUUAGUUCUGUUUUCAAUGUUCACCGUUCAAUUGUGAUCCAGAGCAAUAUAACUACACUCACUGGGAAUUUUAAUUAUGAACCAAGAACGAAGUUGAACCGAGAAUUUGAUACUUUAUAUAUUCCAGUUACCAUAUUUAAGAAAGAGUAUUGAAAAGAAAGACGCUAAGAGAGAAUAUUGAAGUUAAACAGAUACCAUAUCUAGUAUUAAGUCUGUAUGCCAAAGUUACAAAUUCGAAGAUCAGAUUCCUCAUUUCAAUUUAUGUUCUGCUCAAAACAAUGGCUCUUAUUCCACAAGCACAAACAAGAAAGAGUACGAACAAAGUUAACAGAGACACGCAGUGAAAAUUACGCUAAUUGGUUGCAGCAGCAUCAUCCAGGAACUUCACUUUAAUCCUCUUGAGCUUUGCUGCAGCGUCUGUCAUAUUUAUCCUCAUGUCGGGUGACUCCAUACAACAAUCCAAUGCCAAAUCCAUUAUGCUUAAUAUACAAUCCAUUUUGGCAGAAAAAGCUUGCUCUUCUCGCACCAAAUUUGCGUCAACAACUUCACUCAAUCCGUGAGGUAAUGACUCCUUUACCCAUGUCCUUAAACUCGUUUCUCCUGUGAACAUUUCAUCGGUGGGCCUCUUUCUCGUGAAAGUUUCCAUUAAUAAAACACCAUAGCUGUAGACAUCACAUUUAGCUGAAACAAUUCCUUCUGAUCCAUACUCUGCAUUUUUUUUAAUUUCAAUUAUGAAACAAAUGAUAAAACAAAUAAGUUUUUGAUAAUUAAGGUAACCCAAACUUUGCUCGUACUUGAAAAAAGAGUAAAAAUUUUAAUUACAAUUGAAACUUUACCUGGUGCCAUAUAACCAAUUGUAGCCAUUGUCAUGGUUUGUGUCACAGAAUCUUCUUCUUCACCUAAGAGUUUGGAAAUGCCGAAGUCGCUCACAUGUGCCACCAUAUUUUCAUCCAAGAGAAUGUUGGGAGGCUUCAAAUCACAAUGAAUUAUAGGUGCCGACGAAUGACCAUGAUGGAGAUAUUCAAGAGCCGACCCCACAUCUAUCAUUAUAUUCAACCUCUCUAGAAUGUCUAAGAAAUAGUUGUGAGAAUACAACCACUUCUCGAGACUACCAUUUGGCAUGAACUCAAGUACCAAUGCUUUAAAAUCUGGAUUAGAACAACUGCUAAGGAUCUUUAUGAGAUUUCGAUGACGAACAUUCUGUAAAACUUCACAUUCAGAAUCAAAACUCCUAAAUGCUCUCUCUAGUUGCAGAUUGAAAACCUUUAUCGCAACAUCAGUCCCGUCGGAAAUGGUUCCUUUAUAAACUGAUCCAAAGCUACCUGUACCAAGCAAGUUACAUUCAUUAAAUUCAUCAGUUGCUCGUUGAAUGUCUAGGUACGAUGUUCUUCUCCAUGUUGCAAGAGAUAGGAAAUCUUCGUGAUCUGAUUUUCUUGUACUUCUAUUUCGGCAUCUUCUGUACAUAAUGAUGGUAAUCACUAUAAGGACCGUGGAUACUAUCGGAGGCAAAAUAUAUUUAAGGACAAUUAGAGCAACUUUCUUGGUUCUUUUGCUGUUAUCUUGCUUGCAAGGUGGGACUCGAAGUUUAGGUGGACCACAGAGUGCAUAAUUUCCAAAAAAUGAUUCAGCUGACUAGUUUUUAAAAGACCCCUUAACAGGAAUUUCCCCUUCUAGCAUAUUUUGAGACACAUUAAAUUGUUUGAGAUGUGAAAGUGCCUCCAAUGACUUAGGAAUUUUUCCAGAGAAAUUGUUGCCGGAGAGAUCUAAGGAUUCUAAGCUUAUCAAACUGCCAACUGAUUCAGGGAUAGGUCCUUGAAAUUGAUUACUAGCCAAGGAUAGAGUUUCUAGAUCUACGAGGGCACCAAUGGUUGAUGGAAUAUUACCUGAUAAUUGAUUCCUUGAUAAAUCUAAAACUCUCAAGACCUUUAACUUUUGUACAUUGGAAGGGAGAGAAUCAUUUAAUGAAUUUGACGACAAGUUUAUCUCUAAGAUGUACUCAAGGCUCCACAAGGAUGACGGUAUACUAGAAGUGAGCUUGUUGGAGCCUAAGCGGAGUUCUCUUAGAGAUGUCAAACUCGCCAAGCAUGGCGGUAUAUGUCCAGAGAGCUUAUUUCCAUUUAACCUUAUUCCGUACAUCAACUCCAAGUGGCAAAGAUCAUAGGGAAUGGAUCCUUCCAAAUUAUUGUCUUCAAGAGAUAAACCUUGUAGCUGCUGUAAUGUUCCUACAGAUGUUGGAAUAGUUCCGUUCAAGUCAUUGAAGUCGAGGGUUAAGAGGAUCAAGCCACGUAAAUUACCAAUUUCUUUAGGAAUGCUGCCCCCGAGUUUGCACUCGUAAGCAUAAAAGCUUUGAAGAGAAGCAGAGAAAUUUCCAAUUAAUGGUGGAAGGAUGCCACCUAAUGGAUUAGAAUCUAAGACUAAAUAGGAUAGCUUUCUACAAUUAGUCAAAGAAGAGAGAAAACUCCACUGAUCUGCUGAAGAUGAUUCUGUCGUCAAGUUAUUCGUUCGUAUGCUGAGCACGUUGAGGUGCCUCAAGUUGCCAAAUGUAUUUGGUAUAUGGCCUGAGAAUGAGUUAGAGCCCAAGUCUAGACCAAUGAGUUUGGAAGCAUUGGUAAGAGAGUCAGGAAUUGUCCCGAUAAGAUUAUUGAUCGCCAAGGUUAAAUACUCUAUGUUCGGAAGCGAGUGGCCUAUCGUUGAUGGUAGGCGGCCUGAGAAUUGGUUGCUGUGUAGAUUAAGGACUCUUAUGGUUGAAAUAUUGAAGAUCGCGGGUGGAAUGAGGCCACUUAAAUUAUUCGUACCAAGAGCAAGACUCUCCAAAUUUUGUAGAUUGCCAAUCUCGGUUGGAAUUUGAUCUGUCAUAUCGAUUAAACCAACAUUGAUGAGUUAUUGAAUUUUUUGCUAAACAUAAAUUUAAUUUCAAAAUUCAUGAAAAUCAAAAUUUCCCACAAAAUAUGUGUUAUUAGUUUUAUAAUAAUUUAGGGGGUAAUGAUAUUUCUACCCCAUGAUUUUUGUAAAACACACAUGCUUUUAGAAAAUUAUUACCGCAAGAUCACAUUAUUCUUAAAAAUUCAAAUUAAGAAGAAGUUUCUAGAAUUAAUCAAUUAAAUCCAUAUUAAUUUAUAUUUGAAACUUAUAUUCUUUUAUUAUAUUUAAGUACUAAGGUUGUUUUAACAUAAAUUUAAUUGACUAUUUUACCCUCCUAAGGUAAAAGUACUAAAAUCCUCAAAAAUUUACUUCAACUAAACUAACAAAAUGUAUUUAUGACCUAUGGGGCAUUAAAAAUAUUGAAUUUUAUUUUUAAAAUAUUAUAUUACAAAACAUAAAACUAUAUGCUAGAUACUAUAGUACAUGUUUCUUGGGGUAAUAUAGUCAUUUUACAUUAUAAGGAUGAAAUAGUCAAAUUAAACUUAACUUGAAGCACCCGUAAAUGCCAAAAAUUGUUAAAAGACCUAAGUCAUAAAAGAAAAUUAUUAUCAGAAUAAUUUAUUUAGUUAAUUAUCUGACUUAUUGUUAAUUUAUAAUUUUAUAAGCUAUUGUGAACUUAUUGCAAUUAUCUAAUGGAGAUGAGGGGGGGUUUUGCAAGAAUAUGAGCGGCAGUAUUGCCACUCUAUAAAAUAAAAAGAAUUAUGCAGUCAUGCAAAUGCAAAUAUGCUGAACUUACCUUGCAGGUUGUUAUGACGAAGAUCCAAAUCAAAAAGGUUGCUCAAAUUUCCUAUCCCUGAAGGAAUAUUUCCAUCAAUAACGUUGAAACUUGCUUGUAACAUCUCCAAUUUCGAUAAGUUGAAGAGAGAAUUUGGGAUUGGACCCGUGAUAUUGUUAUUACGAAGACUCAUUAUUUGUAAUUUGGAUAAGACACCAAUCCAAGUUGGAAUGCUUCCACUCAAUUUAUUGAAACUGAAACUAAUGAAUUUGAGUCGGCCUAAUUUCCCCAAUUCAUUAGGUAGAUGGCCAUAAAAAUUGUUCAAAGUAACAUCAAGAGACAUUAGGAAUGAGAGAUUUCCCAGGUGUGGGGGAAUAGUGCCUCCGAGACCCAUGCCUGAAAGAUUUAAAGCCUUGACUCUUUGAUGGCGUGAAUCACAAGAAAUACCAACCCAGCUGCAUAUUGGAUGAGAUAUAGACCAAUUAUUUGCUAGGACACUCCGAUAAUCACCGACGUGGGCUUUGAAUGCAAGAAGAGCUGAUUGAUCUGUUAAAUUGUUUAAAGUCGUCGUAGCUAAGUUAGCUAUGGAAUAUUGUAACAACAUAGGAACAAAGAAGAACGAUAGGCGCAUAUUGGUCGUUUUUAAUAGAUACAGCAACAUAAUUGCUAGGUGAGAUUGAAACAAGUUUGAAGUGAAGGAAAUUAGCAUAUACUUAUACAAGAGACAUGAAUUUGAAAACAAGAAAAGAAAAAAUAUACAGGAGACUUGCAAACUGUUAUAUUUUGUCAUUAAGCGAGUCGUCCAAGUAAACGCACGUAUGGACUUGCAAAUUGUUAAACGUCGCUGUACUUGAACCGUAAACAAAGGGUGUGUUUGGUUGGAGGAUUAAAAGUGGGGAUUAGACACUUUUUUUUUUUUUUAAAUUUUAUCCUUAUCUCAUGUUUGGUGCUGUCAAGGGUAUUAGGAUUUAGUUAUCUUGAACUCACAAGCUAAUCUUAAUUUUGUAAAGGAAAUUAUCCCAAGAGGGGUCAUGGGAUUAGUUAGUAUUGGAUUAUAUUGAUAACUCAAUUAAACAUAAUAAUUUAUAAAUAUUAAAAUUAUAGUAAUAUGUGAUAAAUGUAAUAAAAAAAUAUUGAUUUUAAUAAUGUAAAUAAUAAAUUAUACUAAAAAUCAUUAUUAAUUUCACAUUAAAUUAAAAUUCUAUUUUACUUUAUUUAAUUAUUAAAUAUUUUUUAUAAUUCCAAAUUUACGUUAUAAAUUAAUUAUUAAAUUAGUAUUCAAAAAGAUAAAUUUUUAUAAAAUAAUAGAUUAUUGAAUAAAUAUCAUAUAAAUAUCAUAUACAUAUUUAACAAAAUAAUAAUUAUUUAAAUUAUGAUUUCUAUUUCUUUAACGUCAUUGAGGUUGAUUUGUAUAAUUAAUAAUACAAAAUUUUAGUUUAUAAUAAUAUUAAUAAUAAUAAUAACUUGUAAAUUGUAAUAUUAUAAUGUAAAACAUGAUUAUUUAUAGUCCAAUCUAAUAUUGUACCAAACACAAUAUAGUAUUAUAUAUAAUCCACUAUUAUUCAAUCCAAUUCAAUUUUAUCCAAUUUAAUCUAAUCUAAUUCAAUCAAAUCCGGCGGACCAAACCAGCCCAAAGGGUUUAUGGCCCUUUACUUACCAAACAGAAAAAGAUGCUCAACAUUGACAUCUUUGACCCAAUCCAAAUCUAAUCCAUACAUCUGCGGAUCAGAUGCAGAUUUAACCUAAUCCAUAUCCAAUCCACCAUUUUACGGAUUGGUUUGUAGACUGAAAAAUAUUAUAAGAAUAAUUUAUUAAUUGUUCAGACUUAAUUUAUAAUUCUAUAAGAUAAUGUGAACUUAUUAUAACUAUCUUAUCAAAAUGAGGUGGGAUUGCAAGAAUAAUGAGUAGAAAUAUCCCCAACCGAUAAAAUAAAAAGAAUUUUACAGCUAUACAAAUGCAAAUAUGUAGAACGUACCUUGUAGGUUGUUAUAAGCUAGAUUCAGAUACAAAAGAUUGCUAAAAUUUCCUAUCGCUGAAGGAAUAUUUCCAUCAAUGACGUUGUACGUUGCGUGUAACGCCUUCAGCCUCGAUUAAUUGAAGAGAGAAUUUGGGAUUGGACCCGUGAAACUGUUAUUACGAAGACUCAACACUUGUAAUUUGGAUAAGACGCCAAUCCAUGUUGCAAUGCUCCCACUCAAUUUAUUGAAAGUGAAACUAAUGAAUAUGAGUCGGCGUAAUUGCCCCAAUUCAUUAGGUAGAUUGCCAAGAAAAUUGUUCAGGCUAACAUCAAGAGAUUCAAAUGAAUUUUUGAUGGCGCGAACCGCAAGAAAUGCCAAUCCAGGUACACAUUGGAUAAGAUAUAGACCAAUUAUUUGUCAGGAUACUUCGAUAAUCAACGACACGGGCUUUGCAUGCAAGAAGAGCCGAUUGAUCGGUUGUUAAGAUGCAAUAGUGAGUAGUGAAAGUGGUUUGAGGUGGAGAUGCACCGGGAUCUACGGCCAUCCUGAGUUCAGCCAGAAGCAUAAUACUUGGACUCUCAUGAAAAGGUUAGCCAGCCUAUUUUCCUAUCCUUGGUGCUGUUUUGGUGAUUUUCAAUGAGAUAAUGCAUAUGCAUGAGAAAAACGGGGGCAAUGAGAGAAACCUGAAUAGGGUUGCCGAGUUUAGGGAAGCUGUGCAAAGCUGCAAUUUGCAGGAUAUGGGGUGUAAGGGAUAUCCCUAUACGUGGUCAAACAAAAGAUACAGAGAUCAUUUUAUUGAUGAGAGAUUGGACCGUUUUCUGUGUAGUAAAGAUUGGGGGAUUAAUUUUCAAGAAUCUGUAGGCACAAAUCUAGUGAACUGGUCUUCGGACCACUGCCCAAUCAUUCUAGAUUUCCAUGAGCGAAGCCAAAAUUCGAGACAUGCGGGCAAAUCUCUCCCCCGAGAUUAUUAUGAGGAUAUGUGGAGCUCCCACGAAGGCUGUAGGAGUAUAGUCCAGGAAGAGUGGAGCCGGUAUGGGGCUAGAGCUUGGGAAGCCCCUGUUCAGCAAUUUCAAUGAAUAGCCAAAUCUUCCUUGGCCCAGCUAAAACUUUAGAGCAAAACCGAAUUUCAUGGUAGGCAAAGAAAGUAAGAAAAGCUUAUGCAGAGCCUCCAGGAUGCUAUGAGAGGGAAUUCAAAGCUGGAUGAUGGCCAGGAAAUUAGGAGAUUGGAAAGUCAGAUUAACUCUAUGCUAGUUGAUGAGGAGAUUUACUAGAAACAGCGUUCGAGGGCCGACUGGCUUAGAGAAGGGGAUAAGAACACGAAGUAUUUUCACGCCAAAGCAUCUGCCCGCAAAAGGAAGAACAAGGUGUGGGGGAUUGAGAAUGACCAGGGCAUUUGGUUGAAGGAAAGGGAUGAAAUAGAGGAGGAGAUUUGCAGCCAUUUCCAAAAGCUUUUCACUACUUCCAGCCCGACUCCAAGCCAAAUCCAAGCAACCCUUCAAGGCAUGACAACAAAAGUAACUCCGGAGAUGAAUGUUCAGCUGGAGAAGCCGUUCACCGCUGAAGAUGUUGAGGAAGCCCUUGCCAACAUGUGUCCCACAAAGGCCCCAGGGCCUGAUGGUCUUCCAGCUGCCUUCUUCCAGAAGCAUUGGAAAUCUGUCCGUAACAGAGUGAUCUCAACGUGCCUUAAUGUCCUUAAUGAGCAAGGUAACCCAUCUACCCUCAAUCACACCUUUAUAGCUUUGAUUCCAAAAAUUGCAAAUCCUAGGAAAGUGAGUGAUUAUAGACCUAUCAGCCUCUGUAAUGUUAUUUAUAGAGUUGUAGCUAAGGCCAUUGCAAAUAGAAUGAAGCCGAUCUUUUCCCAAAUCAUCUCCCCUAUGCAAAGUGCAUUCAUCCCCAAUAGGCUCAUUACCGACAAUGUUAUUAUUGGUUAUGAAUGCCUUCAUAAAAUUAGGCAUAGCAAAGGGAAGAAGAACGGACUUGUAGCUUUAAAAUUGGAUAUAAGUAAGGCUUAUGAUAGAGUUGAGUGGCCUUUUUUGGAACAAACUAUGCUAAAGAUGGGGUUUCCUAGUAAUUGGGUAGCUCUGAUAAUGAGAUGUGUUAUUUCCACUUCAUUCUCGGUGCUAAUUAAUGGUGUGCCAAAAGGAAUGAUCCAGCCAAAAAGAGGCUUGCGACAGGGCUGCCCGCUAUCCCCGUACCUUUUUAUCCUUUGUGCAGAGGCUCUCUCCAAUUUGCUGGUUGUGGCAGAACAGAACCAGCUAAUCCAAGGGCUCAAAUUUGCGCGGGAAGUUUCAAUUACGCACUUGCUGUUUGCGGACGAUAGCUUGGUAUUCUCUCGUGCAUCAGUGGCUGAAUGCAGGCAUUUAAAAGAAAUGUUUGAUAAAUAUGCUGCAGCAUCAGGGCAGAUUUUUAAUUUUCAGAAAUCCUCACUGUUCUUCAGUGGAAAAAUUCCAGAGCAUCAACGGGCUGCUAUAAGGGGUAUCUUUAAUCUAAAUGUAGUCUCAAAGCAUGAGAAAUACCUUGGCCUACCAUCAAUGAUUGGGAGAAAGAAGAUGGGGUUCUGUAACGACAUCAAGCUGAAAGUGUUGAACAAGAUUGCAGGAUGGCAGCAUAAAAUGUUGUCUAGUGGGGGGAAGGAAGUUCUGAUCAAAGCGGCAGCCCAAGCAAUUCCGGCGUAUGCAAUGAGUGUUUUCAAGCUCCCAAGAGGCUUUUGUGAUGAUAUUCAGCGAGCUAUAGCGAAGUUCUGGUGGGGCUCGAAAGGGGAUAAGCACGGAAUCCAUUGGCGAAAAUGGGAGAAGCUCAGCCAGGCAAAGAUUAGAGGGGGGCGGGGAUUUCGAGAGUUUUCUUGCUUCAAUCAAGCGCUGGUAGCUAAGCAAGCUUGGAGGUUACUGCAGUACCCAAAUUCGCUGGUCUCCAAAGUCCUUCAAGCAAGAUAUUUCAGGAAUUCCAGCUUUUUAUGUGCAAAGGCAGGAGCCAAUGCCUCGUAUAUUUGGAGAAGCAUCAUGUGGGGUAGGCAGGUGAUUAAGAAGGGUAUGAGAUGGCAGAUAGGUAAUGGCAAGAAGGUAGCAAUUUUCUCGGAUAACUGGCUGCCAAGACCAGAGACCUUCAGACCUAUCUUCCCUCCAUCUUUGCCCGUAAGCUCAGUUGUUGCAGAUUUAAUUAAGGCUGAUAAUCAAUGGGAUGAAAUAAAGCUUCGACAGCACUUCAUGGAUGUAGACACAGCAGAGAUCCUCAAGAUUCCCCUCCCAACUGAGAAAGAAGAAGAUGGAGUGCUUUGGGAUUACGACAAAAGAGGGAACUACUCUGUCAAGAGUGGGUAUCAGCUAGCAUUGAGAUCAAAAUUUCCAGAUUCCACCAGCUGCACAGAGGCUUCCCACAAGUACUGGAGUGCCCUUUGGACACUGGAGUUGCCUGCGAAGCUUAAAAUUUUCAUGUGGAGGGCCUCUAAUAAUCUGCUUCCAUCGGUGGAAAAUCUGUGGAAAAGGAAGGUAGUGGAGGAGCCAACUUGUAAGCGAUGCAAACUGAGUGUUGAGACUAUCAGCCAUGCUCUCUUGGAGUGUAAGGUAGCGAGAAAAAUUUGGCUCCAAUCCCCCUUUUCAGGCCUUAGAUUAGAAGCCAAUUCUCAGGACAUUUUCAGCACUUUGCAAAAUAUGGCUAAGGAGAUGAGGAAAUCAGAUCUGGAAUUAAUGGUAGCUCUGUGUUGGUCUGCCUGGUAUGCUAGGAACAAAUGUAUCUUCGAUGGCAGGGAGAUUAAUCCUAUUAUAUCAGCUGCUAAAGCGGAGUCUGUUUUGUCAGCUUUUCAGAGAGUUAGGAAGCCCCAGCAAGCUCACAUCUCUAUCUUCAUAAAAGAGAAGCAGCAGGAGUGGCUCCCCCCUCCCCCGAAUGUUUUUAAAGUUAAUGUGGAUGCUGCUCUUAAUUCAAAGAAUCUGAGUGCAGGAGUGGGAACUGUGAUUAGAGACUCUAAUGGAAAGAUAGUUGCGGCUGGGGUAAAUCAGAACCUCCUAAAGGGGUCAGCUAGCUUGGCUGAAGCAGAGGCGGUGCUUUGGGGCCUUCAGCUGGCGAGAAAGGCGGAUGUAUCCUCUUUGAUUAUUGAGUCUGAUUGUUUAGAGGUGGUCCAGCUAGUGAACAACACCAAGGGCAGCAGAUCAGAAAUUUUUUGGACAAUUCUGGCAAUCCAAAACCAGAUGAAGAACUUCCAGAAAGUGGUUGUCAAUCACAUUCCAAGACAUUGUAAUGCUUGUGCCCAUUACCUAGCUAAGAUAGCUUUGGGGAAAAUCUCUCCCUGUAUGUGGCUGGGAAAUAUUCCAGCUGAAUUGUAUGGUAUUAUCAAGGUGUUGUGAUUAAUGAAAGGUUUACUUUCUUUUCAAAAAAAAGAAGAAUGAUAAGCGCAUAUUGGUCUUUUUUUUUAGAUGCGUCCAUCUAAUUGCUAAGUGAAGUUGAUACAAGUUUUAAGUGAAGGAAAUUAGCAUAUGCAUAUACAAGAGGCGUAUGAAUUUUGAUAACAAGAAAAGAAAACAAUAUACAGGAGAGUGGAGGCUUGCAAAUUGUUAUAUUUCAUUAUUUAGCGAGUCGUCCGAGUAAACGCGUAUAGACUUUUAAAUUGUUAUACGCCGCCGUACUUGAACCGUGAAUAAAGGGCUUAUGGCACUUGAGUUACCAAAAAGAAGAAGAUGCUCAACAUUGGCAAGGCCUAUGCAUUCUGUCCAUUUGUUCACGUUUUGCCGAGGCUCAUGGCAACCACAAUAUGUUCUUUUUCUUUCCUCUAAAAAACAAAAAGACGACCUUCACAUUUGGGCUAAUAAUUAUCACUAAACAAUUAAUAAUGCUGAGGGCUAGUGGUAAUGUAGCUUUAAAAUAAUUGUUAUUAGUUGCGCCUUAAAAAUAAAGAAAUAAAGAUAGUUAUACUAUACCCCCACAAUUUAAUAAAAUAAUCAUGUAAAUUUCUAAACUUUUAACAAUAUACACCAAGACCCCUUAUGUUACUUUUUACCAUUUAUUUGGAUGUCACAUGCUUUUUUUUUUUUUUUUUUAAAUUUUUCACUGCAGAAAUUAAAUGCUAAAUUUACUGUUAUUCCCAUAUCAUGUCAUCGCUUGCUUCUACACAUAUUGAUUGUUUUUCCAAAGUUUAAAAUUGAAUUAAAAACAUUCUAAUUAACCUAAAAAUUAAAAAAAAAACUCAUCCAACCAGAUAUAAAUCUUCUAAUUAACCUAAAGAUAAGCUACACCCCCAUAUUAAUUCCAAUUAAAUAAAUCUUCAUUUUUGUCAUGGUUUUGGAUCUCGAGCAGGGUGGAUACAUCCAACCAGAUCCGCCCCAUUGGCAUUCCAAUAUAUUAUGGAAUUGGAAGAGUAUCAAUGACUUAAUUUGUAAUUUUAAAUUUGUAACGUAUAAUUCUAAUUUAAGGAUUCAAAUUAAUUUAUGCGGAUCUAAAAGGGGACUGAUGAUGGGCAUGCAUACAUACAUGCAUACAUAUAUUUACAUAGAGAGAGAGAGAGUGAGGUAAUAUAACAUUCUUCUUGAUGAAGAUUUUUGUGCCAUACGCAUUAAAGAGAGUAUUGUGUCGAUGUUGGAGGCUAGAGGGACAAGUGGUUACAUUGCUUCAGAGGUGUUUAGUAGAAACUUUGGUGAGGCAUCACAUAAUUUAAACUACUAGAUUUAGCGAGAUAUAUAUAUUUUCCACAUUGGAUUUACAAGCAUUUGGAGCAGGAUAAUGAAUUUAAAUUACUCGGAAUUGUAAACAGCGGAAAGUGAAAUUGCUAAGAAGAUGAAUAUUGUUGUUUUGUGGUGUAUACGGACUCGUCCAUCGGAUAGGUCGCCCAUGAACAGAGUGAUAGAAAUGUUAUUGCAAAGAAGCAGACUGACUAGCAGUGACGCUUUGAAUAAAUCCACCAAACAUCUUCUCCUACAAGACCACCAAUAUAUUCUUCCACCAUUCAACGUCGUGAUGUGGGGAUCAGAAUUGAAUUAUAGGAUGCUUGUAAGUUUCCUUUGUGGAACUUGUGAAUUUGUGAUGGCAAAAGUCAAUGAUGCAUGUAACUAGCCGGCCCGUGUAGAGGCCGUUUGACUCAUAAAUAUUUGUCACUUUCACUCUUUUUCAAAACCCAAAAGCACGCUAAAGCUUAAUCUAAAAAGAAUUUUUGAUUUAGUGCUGACAUUUUGGGCUCACCUUUGAGUAAUGUUUUACCACGCAUGCAUUUAUGUCAUUGUGCGGUCAUCCUUUACUUCUAAAGAUCGUAAUCUUUAAGAAAAAAUUACUUCUUUUGAAAGUGAAAGCAGGCCAGCUAUUGGCGUAUUGCAUUGAAGCUGCUAUGUGUAGUAGUCAAUUCUUGGAAAGAACUAGUUUUCUUAAAUUGUAAAUGGUCCCCUUUAUGACUGGGAGAUUUUGAACAAAAUUAAUAUGAUGAAUUCUUAGCAAGUGUUGUUCCUUGAAGUCUCAUCUUUCACAAUGUUUUUGAAAUAAAGAUAUUACCAUCUCUGACUAAAGAUUUACUCUUGAUUUGGACCACCUAAUCUGAACUUGAUGGAUGAUUAUGAUCUUGCCUAAUUUUAUGGAUGUGGUCUUAUCUCACGUAAGUCAGUAAUGAAUUAAUUAAAGUUUACUGUCAAAUUAUGAACUGAAAAACUGCUGCUACUUCAUUAUUCACAAUGCCCAAAUUCAGUGCAGAACUGAUUAUAAGUUUUCCGAAAGUUUUACGCUUUCUUUCCCCCAAAUCCCAAGUACUUCCUGUAAUAUCAUUCCCCUAUAGAUGUCUUCCCCUGAGACAUUUUUAACUUUGGUUCAGGGUAACAAAGCUAUAGCUUUUCCUGUCGUGUGCAACAAGCUAUUAAAUUAGAGUAUUUAUUUCUGUAUUACUACUAGUAGUAAGAGAGGCGAAAUGGAAUCUUGAAUUCAUGUUUAUACAACAGUUUGUUUAUAAAUAAAUGAGUUGAUAACAAGUCAUUUUAAAUAUUUGCAAAAAAAAAAACGGUGAGUGAUGUCUAGUUCUAUUUUCAAUGUUCAGAGUCGAAUUUUGAUUACUGAAAAUUUUAAUUUAUGAAGUUGAACUAAGAAUUUGUUAUAAUAUAUUCCACCUUCCUAUACAGUCAUCUGGAAUAAUAAUAUAUCAAAAACAGUAAUAACUUGAUUUACAGGGUGAGAAAGAAAAGAAAGACGCUACGAGGGAAGCAGAGAUUCAAAGACUUCGCUACUUUGUUGGAGGAACAAUUUCAUAAAUCUCCAGAAUAUUGACAUAAAACACAGAACAUAUCUAGCAUUAAGUAUAUUUAUGUAUGUCCAAAGAUAAAAAUUCGAAGAUUAGAUUUAUCAUUUCAAUUUAUGUUCCGCCCAAAGCAAUGGCUUUUAUUCCACAAGCACAAACAAGAAAGAGUACACAAAGUUAACAAACACACAUGUUGAUGCGAGAUUCUGGUUGUCCUCGUUCUACGACCAGGGUCUCUGCUCGAUCAACUUCACCACGACCAGGAUCUCUCCUCGUAAAGCUUCUUCUCCAGAGGUUCCUGCGCACACAGACAGGUCAGAGUACGCCGGUUUUUUUCCCGGCGCAAACCCUCCAACGCUCAAGUCAGAAAUAGGGGUUCUGGGAAUGUUUGCCACGAAUCUUAUGGCUUCUUUUUAAUCUCAGUUCUCGGAACUUUCUUUUCUUAGUUCUAAUAGCAAAAAGUCUAACCCUUUUACCUUUGCUGGCUACUUUUUUAUAGGCUUCCUCUGAAUCCCGGUCUUCCGUAGUCCACGCCCAUUACUCUUCCCACCCUCGGAUGUGGAUGCCCCAUUGUCGUCAUUGUGGGCGAAUGGAGAUGGACUUCGUGCCUUGAUUCUCGGAUAGGAACGCACGUCUUGCCAACUGUCGUUGACCGGGUCUCCUCGCCUCGACCCCUAGCAGGAAUGGCCUUAUGCCUCUAACAGGAGUUCGUCCUCGUGAAUGGCAUAUUUGUGGACGAGCAGAAUAUUCCUGCUCCUGUUCCCUUGCUACCAGGCUCUUACAGGACAUACCUGUUCGCAGAACUCUGCCACCAAAUAUAUGCUCAUCAUGUCUGGUCUCGUCGAAGUAUUUCCCUCAAACACCGGUCCCCCAGUUUCUGGUGUUGGGUAAUGUAAUGGACCAGCAGUAGAAACUCAACAGUUCUUGCUCGCGUGAGACUUGAAAAGGCUGCCAAGAGUCGUGUCGCAUUUAAUUGCGGAUGCAGUGAUGUGGCAGAAAUCUACCCCUUCGUUUGAAUUUCAAACCUACGGUUGCAAGAUUCUCAGAAUCUGCGUCAUUAAAUGCUGGCAGCCCAAAAGUUUGCUUCUCAGUAAGAAAACCCAAAAUCCUCAAACACGAACUCGUCAUUUUCUCCAUUCCUGUCUCUCCGGCUAAUGAACCUCGGCAUUAAAGCUUUCAUCCCUGUCUCUCUCUGAGCGAGUCCCUGCUUCAGGUAUUUCUUCUAUCUUCACGGUCUCGGUUAGUUGUAGAUAAUUUCUUUUCUCUUUGCUUUGCUUGGGGUAGUAUCUGGUAGUGGUGUUUUGGUUAUAACCUAGGGAAUGUCGAAGGGUAAGGAGAAAGUCGUUGAUAUUGAUGACGACGAACUAGGUUUCUUGCCUAGUCUGCUCACUGAUUCUGCUUUUGGCCCCGGGAUCCCCUUAGAGCCCACUAGGUCUAGUGUUGGGACUAGCGCUAGGAGGAUGUCCCCCCAAACAACCUCCACGAGCGGAAGUAGUGGCGAGGAGGGACCUUCUGGCUCGGAAGACACCCUAAGUGAGGAUCAAUGAGGUGACUCUGGUGAGGGAUCUUCACCGGGAACACUGCGACCAGAAGGGUGUAGUACAGUAGGAGGUAGAGCCUUGUCGCGGGAUUAUGCUAUUGAUUACAUGACCUGCACGACCACAUUCAACGAGCUGGAUGACCUCCGGCUCAGGUAUCAUAUUCCUGGUGAGGUACUCCUUAGGAUCCCAGGAAAGAAAGAUAGUCUUAGCAGGCCUCCUAGGGGAUUUGUCACCUUGUUCUUGGAGAGUUUUAAGUACGGGCUAAGGUGCCCCUUGCAACUCUAUUUUGCUCGCAUACUCCACGGGCUCAAUCUAGCUCCUGGUCAGUUGAACCCCAAUGGGUGGAGGGUGCUCUUUGGUCUGUUCAUAUUGUGGGACAGAUGUUGCCAAAGCGAGCCCACGGUUGAUGAGGUGAAGCACCUGUACCAGCUAAGGAGUAGCCCCAAAGAUGCCGGCUGGUACUACUUCCAAUCUAGUACCAAGAGUAGGAAACCCAUAACUGAUCUUCCAACUGGUGGUGGUGGGACUUGGAAGAGGAAAUUCUUUUUUGCUGGGGGUCCUUGAGGUCAAGUUGCACAAAUAGACGGGAAGGAUUGUCGCGUCCCACCCCGUUUCACGGUCCCAGGUUGCCUGCUCACUUUAGAUGUCUUGUAUCCAUAAUUGUUCUUACUUUAUUGGUUUGUCUCUAACCAAGUGUCUGUUUGUGUUGUAGUUUCUUGGGGUGUUCAUUUUCCGCUCAAACCUGAUCAGCUCAAACGGGUCGAGGCUGUACUAGCCAACUCCUGCCCGAGCCGAGAACUGAUAACUAUUUAUAACUUCCUCGAGUCUCGCUUGGUACUCCCUGGCCAUAAGAUGGAGGACGCUGUGAUUGGGGCUCUGAACAGGAAACGUUCUCGACCUCAAAACACGAAGAGGGACCAGAACAAGGACGCCCCUAGGGCAAAGCGGACCAACAUCGUGCAGCAAGUCUCUCCCUUGAAGACUUUACCUCCUGCUCCUGCCAAAGUCAGCGAAACUAGUGGAGCAGCCACAGAUCCUGCUUCCUCUUCUCCUCCUGUCGGGCCUCGAUCUCGCUUUCCUGACAGCCGAGCAGAACACUUGGUCCCCUAUCUCAAUGAGUUAUCUAAACUCGUGAGCAAGAAGGACCUGGAGGACUUUAAUGGCUGCACCCUGGGCGAGCUGGUAGGAGCCAUGCAGUAUAGUGCUUUCCAUCUCAGCUGCAUGACCACCUAUUAUAAGGCUAAGGUUGGCCGUUAUGACAGGAAGAUGAAGGAGGACAUUCAAUCAGCGAUGACCAGAGCUGACGCCGCCGAGAAGAAAGCAGGAGAGCUAAAUGUCGAGAACCUGAAGCUGAUAGAGCAAGAAUCUCUUGCUCAAGCAAAAGCCAUUACCCUCGAGGAGGAGCUGACCAAGGUCAAGGAGGAUCUUCAAAGGCAGAAGGCAAUGUAUGAGGCUCAGCUCGAAUCUCUCCGCGAUUCCCAUCGAGCUCAGGUCGAGAACUUGGAGAAGGAGGCCGACAACCAGUACGACCAGGGACUUCGGCAUUCCUAUCGUUGCAUCAUGGCCGUCCUCGGGAAGCAGCAUCCUGAUCUAAAGAUGGACGACCUUGCAGCUGGUGUCGCCCAACAUAUGGACGAGGAGGCUGCAAAGGAGGAUGCCGAAGGGGUAGACGCAAUCGUGAUUGAGGAGGAAAACUCUCCUCCUCAUGUAGACCCUGCUGACGUUGGCGAGGCGAGCACCCCCCCGGACGCAACUGGUGAUACCCCCCCUGCACCUGAGGAGGUCCAGCCAACCGAUGCUGCUCGGCAUACUGAUCCGCCAUCUUCUUGAACUUAUCUUGUGCUGUAAUUGCUUUUUGAAUAUUCUAUAUAACAGCUUUGUAAACUUUUAAGAGCUUAAUAAGAUUGUUCUUAUUUGCUUCCUCGCAUUGGUAUUUUAAUUUAUUUAUCUAUUUGGCUUCUGUCCUCGUCACAGAGGAGGCCUUGAAGUUUGACGAGCCUUUGCCUGUCUUGGAUAAUUUCUUCAAUGAUUGGGAUUCUGCUCGCCUUCGCGUGGUCGAGCAGAUCCUGGCACGCUUGGCUUUUGGUCUCGCCAUAAACAGGCUUUGAGACUCGACGAGCCUUUGCAUGCCUUAGUUUCUUCAAGGAUUGGGAUUCUGCUCGCCUUCGUGUGGUCGAGCAGAUCCUGGCACGCUUGGCUUCUGGUCUCGCCAUAAACAGGCUUUGAGACUUGACGAGCCUUUGCAUGCCUUAGUUUCUUCAAGGAUUGGGAUUCUGCUCGCCUUCGCGUGGUCGAACAGAUCCUGGCACGCUUGGCUUCUGGUCUCGCCAUAAACAGGCUUUGAGACUCGACGAGCCUUUGCAUGCCUUAGUUUCUUCAAGGAUUGGGAUUCUGCUCGCCUUCGCGUGGUCGAGCAGAUCCUGGCACGCUUGGCUUCUGGUCUCGCCAUAAACAGGCUUUGAGACUUGACGAGCCUUUGCAUGCCUUAGUUUCUUCAAGGAUUGGGAUUCUGCUCGCCUUCGCGUGGUCGAGCAGAUCCUGGCACGCUUGGCUUCUGGUCUCGCCAUAAACAGGCUUUGAGACUUGACGAGCGUUUACAUGCCUUCAAUUCUUCAAGGAUUGGGAUUCUGCUCGCCUUCGCAUGGUCGAGCAGAUCUUGGCACGCUUGGCUUCUGGUCUCGCCAUAAACAGGCUUUGAGACUUGACGAGCCUUUGCAUGCCUUCAAUUCUUCAAGGAUUGGGAUUCUGCUCACCUUCGCGUGGUCGAGCAGAUCCUGGCACGCUUGGCUUCUGGUCUCGCCAUAAACAGGCUUUGAGACUUGACGAGCCUUUGCAUGCCUUCAAUUCUUCAAGGAUUGGGAUUCUGCUCGCCUUCGCGUGGUCGAGCAGAUCCUGGCACGCUUGGCUUCUGGUCCCGCCAUAAACAAGCUUUGAGACUUGGUGAGCCUUUGCAUGCCUUUGAUAAUUUCUGGAAAGCUUAGGAUUCUGCUCACCUUCUCGUGGUCGAGCAGAUCCUGGCACGCUUGGCUUCUGGUCUCGCCAUAAACAGGCUUUGAGACUUGGUAAGCCUUUGCAUGCCUUUGAUAAUUUCUUGAACAGUGUAGUUGAUUCAAACUCCUCAUUGAUUCAUUUAUUAUUGAAUUCGGCUUACAUGAGGUUGCUUUGAAAUAAGAAAUAAAAAAAUAGAAAACAACAGACAUGAACAGAAAAAAAACUUUAAAACAUGAGUAAGUCUUACUAGAAAUAUUUCCUGAGGUGUGCCGCGCUCUAGGGGCGUUUCACCUCGUGGCCCUCCGUGCGAACCAACUUGUAAACUCUGGGUCCAACUAGCUGCCAUUCCUGGCUUCCACUCGGGUAUCAAAGGAUGUUAUCUGCAUUGCUUCCUUUGUUGCCGAGGAGUAACAGCUUCGUGCGAUUCUCUGGUCUCCUCGUACCACUCCAACUACCCCAUUCACCCGGUACUUGAGAGCCAGAUAAUGGUUGGACAGCACCGCUUUGCUCAUCCUCAGAAAUGGCCGGCCUAGGAUCAUCUGAUAAGGACCUUCCUCAUCCACUACCACAAAGUCCAGUAUCAUUGUCCUUUCUGUCGGGGAGCUCCCAAUCGUGAUAAGUAGCUCGACCACGCCCAGAGGGACCAACUUUCCUCCUCCAAACCCCUUCAAGGAGGUAUUGGUGUAAUCCAACUUCAGGUCUGCUAUUCCCAUUUCCUCCAGGGUUGACUUAAACAACACAUCAACUGAGCUCCCUGUGUCAACCAGUAUCCUGUCAAACUUCUUGCUGGCAACAGUGGCCUUGAUGACCAAAGCAUCCUCGUGGGGGUAUAGAAUCCCUUCUUCAUCCUCAUCUGUCCACAUGAUUGGCACUUGCCUGACUCUUGCACAUUUGGCUGCUGGGGUGUUGAAGAAUACAUCUUUGCUGGUCAUGGCGUAUCUAGCGUAAUUCUUCCUCGACCUGUUGGAAUCUCCGGCCAAUGUUGGGCCCCCAGCUAUCACCCUUAGUGCAGGAUGCUCGCGCCUCAGGUUUCUAUCACUCUGCUCCCCUUCAUAUGUCGAGGCCACCAUCGGGAAAGUCCCAUCUACAAACUCGUCCAGGUACCGAUUUCUCACCAAAUCUUCAACCUGGGUCUUGAGAUCUCUGCAUUCUGCGGUGGUAUGGCCAUGAGUGCCAUGGAACUUACAAUGGCGUCCCCUAUCCCUCCUGCCGGGUAGCUUUGUUAUUGGGGCAGGGAGGUACAGCAGUCCUCGGUCCUUUAUGGCCUCGUAUACUUCAUCUAGGGACAUCUUCAAGGACGUGUAUCGCCCAUACUCCUGGUUCUGGUCGAUCAGGUGCACGGCCCUUUCUCUAUUUGCUCCGUUCUGAGUUGGAGGCGAUGACAGCAUUUCUGGUCUGCUCCCUCUACUACCGUGGGAGUGUUGAUGAAGACCACCAUAUGUCGAAUCAUGCCUUCUCCAAGGCUCCCUAGCUGGGGAACGAGGAGGGUGCGCCCUGCUGCGCUGAUACUGUGGUGGCCUCUGAUGAGGCUGGUGAGCUGUUACCCGACCUCCUGCUCCACUACCUGAGGCCUGGAGGUCCCUCCUCCUGAUCGGCCAAUUUCCCAGUAAUGCCCUCUUUUCUUUCUUUUCCAACCCCUCCAGCUGGUCUGUCUUAAUCCGAGCUGCCUUUUCUUCCUCGAUCUCUAUGUCUCUUUUAGCUUGCUCGUAUGCGGCUGCAUACGUCUGAAUAGCUGGGCUUCUCAAGUUGUACCACAGCCUUCCUAUCUUCACUCCCUCUUUCAAUCCCCUUAGUGCCUGAGGAUGGUCGAAGGCUCCCAAAUCGAGGACAGCACGAUGAAACCUCUUGAUGAAUUCCCGAAGAGUUUCUUGUUCCCCUUGCUUCAUGCUUUUCAACUCCAUCAUGUCAUCUUCUAGUGCCAUUGCCCCACGAAACUGCUCUGCAAACUCCUGGCACAUCUGCUCGAAGGUUUUAAUGCUCCUCCCCCGAGGAAGUUUUCUGUACCACUCUCGUGCACGUCCCUCAAGGGAUAGUGGGAACACCCUGCCUGCACCUUUGGGAUUGAGAUAAUCCUUGUACCCCAAUUAUGUCGUUGAAGCGCUCUAUGUGCACCAGCGGAUCUGUUCGUCCCGAAUAUCUAAGGUCUGGGAGGCGGAAAUCUCUCGGAAUAACUGCCCUCAUGAUCUCUGCUGCGAGCGGUGAUUCUCCAUCUAGCAUUAUCCUCCAACCAGGAGCUCUGCUCCUUCCUUGCAUGUCGUCAAUUAUCUGCGCUAGUCUGCGCACUUCCUCCUCCAGCUGCACUGCACGACCAGGGUCACGUGCUGCAACUUGAUCCCGCUCUUGCUCUACAUCAAGCAAGUGUUGCCUCAACUCUGUUUCCUCUGCAUUUGCCACCCCGUCGUCCUCGUCAAAAAUCUGUCUUGCCGGGAAUUGCUCUUCCUCUCUACGGAAUUCUCCCCGCAGAGGUAUGUUACCUCUCUCACCACCAAAUCUCCCGGUGGUUUGACUUCUCCUCGUACUAUCGGGACCUAGUGCCACUCCACCAACUCUCAUCCUUUCCUCCUGGGUUACCCUUCGUUCACUCCGCAACUCAUGCAGGAUGGUUGUCAGGGUCUCCAUCUGCUUUUCCAUUCGUUCCAUUCGGUCGAACAUGGCUUUUUCCCGUGCUUCACUGGCUAUCUCCCUCAGAGUCACGGAAUCGUUAAGCCUCAUAUCACCCCCUUGUGCACUACUUCCUCCUGUCUCCAUUGCUUUUCACUUGCUUCACUCCUCUUCUUGCUAUCAACAGAAGCUUUUUGAUCAGCUCCCCACAGACGGCGCCAAAAUAUUGAUGCGAGAUUCUGGUUGUCCUCGUUCUACGACCAGGGUCUCUGCUCGAUCAACUUCACCACGACCAGGAUCUCUCCUCGUAAAGCUUCUUCUCCAGAGGUUCCUGCGCACACAGACAGGUCAGAGUACGCCGGUUGUUUUCCCGGCGCAAACCCUCCGACGCUCAAGUCAGAAAUAGGGGUUCUGGGAAUGUUUGCCACUAAUCUUAUGGCUUCUUUUUAAUCUCAGUUCUCGGAACUUUCUUUUCUUAGUUCUAAUAGCAAAAAGUCUAACCCUUUUACCUUCGCUGGCUACCUUUUUAUAGGCUUCCUUUGAAUCCCGGUCUUCCGUAGUCCACGCCCAUUAGUCUUCCCACCCUCGGAUGUGGAUGCCCCAUUGUCGUCAUUGUGGGCGAAUGGAGAUGGACUUCGUGCCUUGAUUCUCGGAUAGGAACGCACGUCUUGCCAACUGUCGUUGACCGGGUCUCCUCGCCUCGACCCCUAGCAGGAAUGGCCUUAUGCCUCUAACAGGAGUUCGUCCUCGUGAAUGGCAUAUUUGUGGACGAGCAGAAUAUUCCUGCUCCUGUUCCCUUGCUACCAGGCUCUUACAGGACAUACCUGUUCGCAGAACUCUGCCACCAAAUAUAUGCUCAUCAUGUCUGGUCUCGUCGAAGUAUUUCCCUCAAACAACACAUAGCAAACAUGACAUUAACUACUUGCAGCAGCAUCAUCCAGAAACUUCACUAUAAUCUUCUUGAGCUUUUCAGCGGCAUCUUUCGUAGAUGCCCUUUGUUUUGGUGACUCCAUGCAAAAAUCCAAUGCCGAAUGCAUGAUGCUUAAUAAACAAUUCAUUUUAUUAGUACAUUGGAUAUAAUCGAAGGCAGAGUAUAUUUCAGGACAAGUAGAGUAGCAUUCUUGGAUCCUUUGCUAUUAUCUUCUUUGCAAGGUGGGACUUGAGGUCCUGGUGGACAACAUACUGCAUAAUUCUAAAAAAAUUAUUGAGCUGAAAUGUUUUUAAAAGGUCUUUUGAUAGAAACUCCCCCUUCUAGCCUAUUGUGAGACACAUUAAGUUGUUUGAGAUAUAAGAGUGCCUCUAUUGACUUUGGAAUUUCUCCAGAGAAAUUGUUGCUUGGGAGAUCCAAAGAUUCCAACCUUAUCAAACUACCAAAUGAUUUGGGGAUUAGACCAUAAAAUUGGUUUCUAGCCAAGCUAGAUCUUUGGGGCCACCAAUAUUUACUGGCAUAUCACCUGAUAAUUGAUUUCUUGAUAAAUCUAACUCUAUUAAGACCCUUAAGUUUUGUAUAUCACUUGAUAAUUGUUUGUAUUGGGCCUUCUAUUUUCAUUAUAGAAUAAAUUAACUAUUAAUUUUCAUGAGAAAAAUACUUAUUUCCAUAAAAUUAUUCAAGCUUUUAAAAAGAUUUAGAAUUAAAAAUCAAACUUUGUACUGUAGAAAAUUUGCCGGUACGUUCAAUUAGUACUUUGUUUGAGGAAAUAAGAUUAGAAUAGGCUAUAGGUACGGUAGUUAUGCGGUACCUGUUUAAUAACCGUAGUAUAGUAAAUGUUUGACUUUUUUAUUAGAAAUAUAUCAUUAACAAUUUUGUUCGCUAAUUGAAUAGAGAAAGAAAGGGGGGGUGGGGGGGGGGGGAGGGCAAAAAGGUUAACACAUUUCGAAACUACAAACGAUUGCCUUUUCCUAUUAAUAAUGUUUGCGGAUUCUAACAAUUGAAUCUCAAGGUCAUUACAUAGUGAAUUUUAUAGUUAAUAAAAUUAAUAUUCCACAUACUAUCUACUCAAUUAAUGUCACAUUUUUUGAAACUUGAAUGAUCUAUUUGCUACAAUUAGGAGCCAACGUCGUAAUGAAUGUUAAAUUAUGCUGUUUGUUUUGAUUUACUUUUCUAUCUUAGCUCCAAGUGAUUAGCGGAAUGCUGGUCUUGUGAGUAUAAAAUGAACUCCUUAAGUCAAAUUCCUUCUGGGGUGUUGGAGAAAGAACUAAAUACAUGUAAUCUUGCUUUCGGAUAUGGAUUAUCUGAUGGAUGUUGUAUUUUCUAGGUAUUGAGGAGAUUCCUCAUUAUUGAAAAAUUACGUUCCCGAGCAUCAAAAGAUGAUCCCAUAGAAUUGCGUUCUCCUGUGACAAAAGAGGAGCUUGUAGCUGAGGUAUCGAUUUUUAUCUUUCUUGAUUGUUCUUUAUAGUUGUUUCUCAUCAAAAUAGAAAAAGCAGUUUGUUCUGAGUGACCUGUGCGGUCUACUAUCAAUCACUGCCAUUUCUAUCAUUUAGUACUAUUGACUGUGUGUAUAGAUAUUUUGUUUUUGCCAUGUAAUUUCAUGUUUGAUACAUUUCUAAUACAUUGCAUAGCGUUCAUGAACGAGAAUGAUAAACUAACUUUCAGGUGUGUUUAAGUAGAUGAAAAAACUUGGUACAAUUUAGAAGGAUUCACUAAUUUUCCAAUUUGUUUGUAUGGAGAAAUUGAAUAGUUAAUUGAUUAGAGGAUUGCAAAGUGGGUAGGUCCAGCUGGGCAUUGUCAAUAUUAACGAUCGAUGUUUUGAGAAGGUCUGGAGCUGACAUCACGGUUGCGUCUGUGGAGAAACAACUUCGUGUCGACGCGUGUCACGGUGUCAAGAUUGUCGCUGAUGCUCUCGUGUCUGACUGCCGCGACGCCGUUUUUGAUCUUAUAGCUCUUCCCGUAUGUAUUGCAGCUCACCUCAGCUCAUGCCAAUUUAUGUGAUGUUUGUAUAAUUAUAGAUGAUUAUUGCUGAUACUGAAUGUUAAGCUAAAUAAUUCGUUCUUAAGUCAUCUUCAUUUAAUUUUCGAUUGAAAAUGAAAAAAAUAAUAAUUGUAAGCAAAGAAAAAUAUCGAAAAUGUUUAUUUUGUUUUAAUUUUAUUUUUUAAUUUUUUGGGAUUUCCUUAUUGUGGCUGUUAUUAUUCAUUAUAUGGUCCUAGUUAAAUAUUUCAAGUUGUUGUAGUUAGUGAAUUUCUUUUCGAUAUUUAUUCUGGCAUGUAUAUUUUUUCUUUUCAAUUUCUUUUGUUGCUGAUUCUUUGAUUAUGUUAUAUCCUUUUUUGUUUCCCUUGUAGGGUGGCGUGCCUGGUGCUACCAAUCUGAAAGAAUCUGAAGUAUUAGAAAGCAUUGUGAAGAAGCAGGCUUCAGAUGGGCGUCUUAAUGCUGUUAUCUGUGCUUCACCUGCUGAGGCAUUAGGGUCUAGGGGUCUGUUGAAGGGAUUGAAGGUAAGAAUUAGAUAAACCUUUUUGAUGUUCUGUGGUCUUUUGGGAAUUGCACUGAUAUUUUUGUUAUAGUUCAGUUUUCUUCUCGCUGAUGAUUGUUAAGUUCUAAUUUAUGUAGUUGUUCAUUUUUCGUAGGCUACUUGUUAUCCGUCAUUUAUGGAGCAAUUAGCUCCUGCUUGUGCAACAACUGUUGAAUCAAGAGUACCACAGGAUGGUAAAGUUGUUACGAGUCGUGGACCCUGCACUACUAUGGAGUUUGCUGUUGCACUUGUUGAGCAGUUGUAUGGGAAAGAGAGAGCUGAUGAGGUUUCUGGGCCACUGGUAGUAACUUUUAUAGAUAAUGUUGUUUAAAAAAAUUGUGAGUUAUAUAAUUUGUUGAAAUUCAUUCUAAUAGGUUCAUCUGGUAUGUCAAAUUGGAAGGUUCAGAUGCUAAUGUAGUCCAAAAAAUUAGUUCAGGGGAAAAGUAUGACUUUUUGCAUUAGAGAUUUAUUAGAUGAAGUUGUAUACCUACUGGCCCAUCUUAAUAUGGUGAAAACGAUGUAAAAUCGGGAGAGGGGGUUCGGGGGAGAGGGGAAGCCCUCUCCAACCGCAAGGCCGUUAUUCUGACAUGAAUAGAGUAAGGCCUUUACUUUUAUAAAGAAAGGUCCCUGUUUUGCACGUCUCCACUGAUCACAUUCUUUUUAAUGUAAGUUCUUUCUCUUGGUAUUUGUCUUUGAUUUUUCUCUUCCUCAUGCUGUCGUCUGUCAAAAGAUUUGGCUGCAGCAUCUAGAAGUUUUGAAGAAGCAAAAUGGGUCACACGGCUUUGAAGUUCUAGAUGCCGUAAUGUUUGGUAAAAGUAAAAAAAAAUUCAAAGCUCAAAAAUUCAAAGUUCGAAAAACUGAAAUUUUUGAGCUGUAUGGCUUGUAAUUUUAUAGCCACUUUUUUGACUUUUAAGGAAAAGUUUUACCUAUAAAUACAAGCUCUCAAUUUAGAGCUUGCAUCCAAUUUUGUAAAGAGAGUCGAGAGCUGUGAAAAGCAAUUCUUGCAGAGCAGAGAGUUUGUAGAGCUUAAAUAAUAAAAGCUGUUGUUUUAAUGAUUUGAGAGUUUGGAUGUAUUGGGGUUUUGGGAAGUGAGCUAAAAUACUACAAUACUUGUAACUCCUUUUCACUAGUAAAAUAUUUUUCUUCUAUCUUCACCCAUGGACGUAGGUUAAAAGCCGAACCACGUAAUUUCCUGGUGUCCUCUUUGUGCUUCUUCUUGAUUUUUUUUUCCCAAUUUUACUUUAGUUGCGGCCCUGCUUCACCCGCCAAUUUCCUAACAGCGGUAUCAGAGCUAUUAGUUGUAUUAUUUGGAGUCGGGUACUAUUCACAUACGGUACUGUUCACAUAUACGGUACUAUUCAUGUAUACGUUACUAUUCACGUGAAACGGUGGGAGCAAUUCUAGUAUUGGCGAUGCAAAGCAGGGGAAUAGUGUGUGUGAGUGGAGUAAUUGUGUGGUUUUGGACAUGUGUAAGAAAGUUCUGUCACAAAGGCGAUAAGAGCCUAAGGAGUUAGGAUUUUAAGUGGGACUAUUGUGACCCCUCCAGUCUUUCCUGGGAACUUUCUUGGUGUGCUCUCACACAUACUCACAACUAUUCAAGCUGGUACACUAGUUUUGUACAAUAUUUAUCAACAAAAUGGUGGCAAAGUAUGAAAUUGAGAAGUUUAACGGAAAUAAUUUUUCGUUGUGGAAAAUGAAGAUGAAAGUUGUAUUGAAGAAAAAUAAUUGAUUGGCAGCAAUUAGAGAAAGGCCCAUGGAGAUAACUGAUGACAAGUGGAACAAGAUAUAUGGCAACGCCAUUUUUGAUCUACACUUGGCACUUACGGAUGAAGUAUUAUUCAGUGUGGCAGAGAAAACUACAGCGAAGGAAAUAUGGGAUACUCUCACAAAAUUGUACGAGACCAGGUCACUACACAACAAAAUCUUCUUAAAGAGGAAGCUCUAUACUCUUCGAAUGACGGAAUCUACAAUGGUGACCGACCACAUCAAUACCUUGAAGACUCUAUUUUCACAACUCACAACGUUAGGUCAUAAUAUAGAGGAAAAUGAACAUGCAGAGCUUCUACUUCAAAGUCUACCAGAUUCGUAUAAUCAACUCAUCAUCAACCUGACGAAUAAUAAUCCAGCGGACAGUUUGGUUUUCGACGAUGUUGCAGCCUCCGUAUUAAAUGAGGAGAGCAGGCGGAAAAAUAAGAAAAAUAGACAAGCAAGUUUGCAGCAAGCGGAGGCGUUAUCGGCGACGAGAGGGAGAUCAACGGAACGUGGCUGGCCCCAGUGGGAGUCACAAUCGUGGUAGAUCAAAAUCCAGAAGUAAGAAGAAUGUUAAAUGCUACAAUUGUGGUAAGAAAGGGCACGUCAAGAAAGAGUGUUAGAGUAACCAGAAGAGAAAAGAUGGCAAAAAACCUGAGUCAUCAAAUGCUCAGGGGUGUGUAGCAAGUACCUCGGAUGAUGACGAAAUUCUCUACAGCGAGGCAACAACUGUUUCAGAAGGUAGAAAAUGACUAUAUGAUGUCUGGCUUAUAGACUCAGGAGCUACCUGACACAUGACCUAUCGUAGAGAAUGGUUCCACACAUAUGAACAUAUCUCAGGAGAAUAUGCAUAUAUAGGUAAUGAUCAUGCCUUGGAGAUCGUUAGUAUUGGUACUAUCAAAAUAAAAAUAUUUGAUGGUACAAUUCGCACAAUUGAGGAGGUACAACAUAUCAGCGGCCUGAAGAAAAAUCUAUUGUCUUUGGGACAAAUGGAUAGUCAUAGGUACAAAACUCAUGUGGAGAAUGGAAUUAUGUAGAUCGUUAAAGGCGCGCUUGUAUUGAUGAAGGCAGAAAAGAUCAGUGCUAAUUUAUUCAUGCUUAAAGGAGAAACACUACAGGAGGCUGAUGUAUGUGUCGCGUCAAAUGGAGAAGAGUCAACGAUGAUGUGGCAUCUCAAACUUGGCCACAUGUCAGAACAAGGCUAGAAGAUUCUCUCUGAGUGAAAAUUGCUUCCAGGGUUCAAAUCGGUAAGUUUACCAUUUUGCGAGCAUUGUGUUAUAAGUAAGCAACAUAGAUUAAAGUUCAGUAGAUCUAUUACUAGAAGUAAAUGCAUUCUAGAAUUGAUUCAUUCUGAUGUUUAGGAAUCGCCGGAUAUGUCCAUGGGAGGUGCAAAGUACAUGGUGACUUUCAUUGAUGAUUAUUGCAGGAGAUGUUGGGUGUAUUCAAUUAAGAAAAAGUCAGAUGUAUUUCCAGUGUUUAAAGAAUACAAAGCGCGGGUGGAACUUGAAUUUGGUAAAAGGAUCGAGUGCUUGGGGACAAAUAAUGGUGGAGAGUAUACAGACGGCGAGUUUCUUGCUUUCUGUAAGCAAAAAGGUAUUUAGAGGUAGUUAAUGGUAGCAUACACUCCUCAACAAAACGGAGUGGCGAAGCGAAUGAACAUAACUCUUACAAAAAGAAUAAUAGCUAUGUUGAGGACUGCUGGUCUACCCAAUUCAUUCUGGGCAGAAGCAGCCAAAACUGCCUGUUAUAUCGUAAAUCGAUUGCCAUCUACAACAAUUGGGCUGAAGACAGCGAUGGAGAUAUGGACUGGAAAGCUAGCUGAUUACUCAUACCUACAUGCAUUUGGAUGUCCUGUGUACGUGAUGUACAAUGCCCAAGAAAGAAUAAAGCUUGAUCUAAAAUCUAGAAGAUGUAUCUUCUUGGGAUAUACUGAUGGAGUAAAGGGGUAUCGUCUGUAGGACCCCACUGCCCACAAGAUCGUCAUCAGCAGAGAUGUUAUUUUUUGUAGAAGAUCAACUACAAAGGAAAGAUAGAGAUGAUGACACUGUAAAAGAAAAGUCAGAGACUGUGCCAGUAUAUGUGGAAAAUAAUCCAGAAGAUUCAGAUUCUUCUGAAGCAACACCAGAGCAUGAAGAAUAAGAAUCAGUCGAGUUCGAGGCUCCAGAAGUUCGUCGGUUAACUCGUGAAAGACGACCGCCAACGUGACACUCGGAGUAUGUCACAGAGAUCAACGUUGCAUACUGUUUUCUAACAGAGGAUGGAGAGCCUUCAACUUUCCAUAAAUCUUUAAACAGCUCAGAUGUUACUUUAUGGAUGACAACAAUGCAGGAAGCAAUUGAGGCUCUACAUAAGAACAAGACAUUGGAGCUUGUACCACUACUACGUGGAAGAAAAGAUAUUGGAAACAAAUAGAUCUACAAGAUCAAAUGUGAUGGUAAUGACCAAGUGGAACGGUAUCAUGCAAGAUUGGUGGUGAAAUGAUAUGCUCAGAAAGAAGGUAUUGACUUCAACGGAAUAUUUUCUCUGGUGGUUUGACUCACAACAGUCAGAAUAGUCUUGGUAAUGUGUGCUACAUUUGACUUACAUCUUGAGCAGUUAGAUGUGAAAAUUGCAUUUCUUCAUGGAGAACUUGAAGAAGAAAUUUAUAUGCUCCAACCAGAAGGUUUUGCUGAAAAGGGAAAGGAGAACUUGGUUUGCAGGUUGAACAAAUCUUUAUACGGUCUCAAACAGGCACCGAUGUGUUGGUAUAAGAGAUUUGAUUCCUUCAUCAUAAGCCUCAGAUACAAUAGACUCAGCUCAGACCAAUGUGCAUAUUAUAAAAGGUUUGAAGAUAAUGAUUUCAUUAUUUUGAUAUUGUAUGUGGAUGACAUGUUGGUAGCAGGCCCCAACAAAGAUCGAGUCCAAGAAUUGAAGGUAUAAUUGAUUAGGGAGUUUGAAAUAAAGGACUUGGGACUAGAAAAUAAGAUUCUAGGGAUGCAAAUUCACCGAGACAGAAAUAACAGGAAGAUUUGGCUUUCUCAGAAGAACUACUUGAAGAAAAUUUUGCGACGCUUCAACAUGCAAGAUUGUAAGUCAAUUUCUACCCCACUUCCUGUUAAUUUCAAAUUAUCCUUAAGUAUGUGUCUGAGCAAUGAAGCAGAGAAGGAGGAGAUGUCUCGAGUACCGCAUGCAUCAGCAGUGGGAAGUUUGAUGUUCGCUAUGAUAUGUACUGGAUCGGACAUUGCACAAGCAGUGGGAGCAGUCAGUCGGUACAUGGCAAAUCCUAGUGGAGAGUAUUGGAUAACUGUGAAGAAGAUUCUGAGAUACAUCAGAGGAACCUCAGAUGUUGCAUUAUGUUAUGGAGGAUCAGAGUUUACUGUCAGGGGUUAUGUGGAUUCAGAUUUUGUAGGAGACUUUGAUAAAAGAAAAUCCACUAUUGGCUAUAUGUUUACACUUGCAGGAGAAGCUGUAAGCUGAGUUUUGAAACUGCAGACCGUUGUGGUUUUAUCUACAACAGAAGCAGAAUACAUGGCAGCUACACAAGCUUGGAAGGAAGCUAUCUGGAUACAAAGGUUAUUGGAGGAGUUCGGGCACAAACAAGAGAAAAUUUUUGUGUAUUGUGACAGUCAGAGUGCCUUGCAUAUUGUAAGAAAUCCAGCAUUUCAUUCAAGGACAAAGCAUGUAGGAGUUCAGUAUCACUUCGUUCAAGAAGUAGUGGAAGACGGAAGUGUGGAUUUACAGAAAAUCCAUACGAAGGAGAACCUAGCAGAUGUUUUGACCAAGCCGAUAAAUACUGAUAAGUUUGUCUGGAGUAGAUUCUCUUGUGGCCUAGCAGAAACGUAGGCAACAUGACAGUGGCGAAGCAGAAACGAUGGUGUGGAGAUUGAUUGAUCCUCAAUCAAAUCUCCAAGUGGGAGAAUGUCAAAAGAUUUGGCUGCAACAUCUAGAAGCUGCAUCUAGAAGUUUUGAAGAAGCAAAAUGGGUGGCACAUGACUUUGAAGUUCUAGAUGCUGUAAUGUUUAGUAAAAGAAAAAGAAAAAAAUUCAAAGCUAAAAAAUUCAAAGUUUGAAAAUCUAAAAUUUUUGACCUGUAUGGCUUGAAAUUUUAUAGCCACGUUUUUUACUUUUGAGGCAAAGUUUUGCCUAUAAAUACAAGCUCUCAAUUUAGAGCUUGCAUCCAAUUUUGUAAAGAAAGUCGAGAGCUGUUAGAAGCAAUUCUUGCAGAGCAGAGAGUUUGUAGAGCUUAAAUAAUAAAAGCUCUUGUUUUAGUGAUUUGAGAGUUUAGGUGUAUUAGGGUUUUGGGAAGUGAGCUAAAAUACUACAAUACUUGUAACUCUUUUUCACUAGUAAAAUAUUUUCCUUCUGUCUUCGCCCGUAGAAGUAGGCUAAAAGCCGAACCACGUAAUUUCCUGGUGUCCUCUUUGUGCUUGUUCUUUAUUUUUUUUCAAUUUUAUUUUAGCUGCGGCCCUGCUUCACCCACCAAUUUUCUAACAUCGUCUUCACUGUCACCCUGUGCCUAGGUAAUGCGUGCAAAUCAUGGGGUUGAAUACACUAUUGCUGAAUUCAAUCCAAUUCAGUGGACAUUUGACAAUUCUCCCCAGGUGAGAUUGGACUUCUAGUUUCUUGUAUUUGUUUUUCUUCAUCCGAUGUUUUCAGGGAUACCUAUUUGGCAGUAUAUAAAAAUCUGUGAUAUCGUCUAUACAUAUACAUAUACAUCAUUGGCUUCAGUCAUUUGUGAACAUAUUGGUGGUAGUAGAUGUAUUUUUAUGAUAUCUCUAAUAAAAUCCUAAGUUUGAUUAAUUACAAAAGAAGUAUGAGCGGUGCUGGACCGGGGGGGAGGGGGGAGGAGUGGGGUGUCGGUGUGUUGGGGGUGUGCAGUGCAUGAAUAAAAGGAAAUGAUAGGGGGUGAAAGUUUGUGCUACCGACAUGCUGUAAAAUGGGGACACAAUAUUUCAAAUUAGAGAUUGUGAGAUCCUUAAUAUUGCUGACUUGUGCUUAAAAUGGAAUUCUUGAUAACUUCAAAUGUUAAAGUUCUUGGUGAAAUUUUGUACUUUCUUUUCUUUCAGAUUCUUGUGCCUAUUGCAAAUGGUUCAGAGGAGAUGGAAGCUGUUAUGAUAAUUGAUAUUCUGCGACGAGCUAAAGCAAAUGUUGCAGUUGCAUCAGUUGAGGAUAAACUAGAAAUUCUGGCUUCGUCAAAUUAAAUUAGUGGUAGAUGUGCUCAUUGAUGAGGCGGCUAAACUUUCGUAUGAUUUAGUUGUCUUGCCAGUGAGUUGGGGUGCUUACUCUUGCUUCAUAGUCUUUACCACAUUAUUGACUUACUAACUACAAUUUAUCCAUGCACAUUGCACAGGGUGGACUUGGUGGCGCUCAAGCAUUUGCGAAGUCAGAUAAAUUGGUGAAUAUGCUAAAGAAGCAAAAGGAAUCAAAUAGACCUUACGAUGCUAUAUGUGCAUCCCCAGCUUUAGUGUUGGAGCCCCGUGGCUUACUCAAGGUACGACCAUUUCUGCUUAAAUUAUUUACUCAGAUUUGGAUCACCUAAUCUGAACUUGAUGAGAGAUUAUGAUGUUGUAUGAUUUUAUGAAUGUGGUCUUAUCUCAUGUAAGUCAGUGAUGAAUUAAUUGGAGUUUGUUGACAAAUUAGAAGCUGAAAAACUGCUGCUGCUUCGUUAGUUACAUUACCCAAAGAGUUAAAAUUAACAUCACAAAUUUGUUAUCCCAAAUGAUAUGGCAUUUAUUGAGUGAUUGGUAUUAAUUGUAUUAUCUAACCCACCAACAGAUGAAUGCCGCACCAUUUGAGACGAUCUUUUGGGAUAAAAAAUUUGGGAAGUGCAGCAAAUUUUUAUGCCGAUUUUUUUUGGCUUCAUUCAUGUAAACUCCUCCCCCCCCCCCCCCAAAAAAAAAGGAAAACCAGCAAACACCAAAAAAAAAAAAUUCUGAAGUACUUCCCUUAAUAUCAUUCCUGUGUAUUUCUUUUCCCCUCAAGACAUAUUUAACUUUGGUUCAGGGUAAAAAAGCUACAGCUUUUCCUGCCAUGUGCAACAAGCUGUCAGAUCAGAGUGAAAUCGAAAACAGAGUUGUGGUUGAUGGCAACCUCAUCACCAGUAGAGGGCCAGGAACUUCAAUGGAGUUUGCACUGGCAGUUGUGGAGAAGUUUUUUGGCCGCAACAAGGCACUUGAGCUUGCAAAGAUAAUGCUUUUCACUCGCGCCUAACGUUUGUACCGGGACCUGACUACUAUUAAACUAGUGUGUUUAUUUCUGUAUUACUACUGCUUGUAGAGAGGGGAAACGGAAACUUGAAUUCAUGUUUGAAUAUGGAUUCACUGUGUCGGUUUGUACAGCAGUUUGGUUUAUAAAUAAAUGAGUUCAUAGAGUCAUUUCAAAUAUUUGGAAUAAACCUGAGUUUAGUUCUGUUAUCAAUGGUCGGAGUCCAAUUGCGAUCGACUCACUGGGAAUUUUAAUUAUG
RNAcentral lists this long non-coding RNA (65334 nucleotides) under Citrus maxima (pomelo). RNAcentral describes it as "long non-coding RNA (CMAX_LNC003046)". Lineage: Eukaryota; Viridiplantae; Streptophyta; Magnoliopsida; Sapindales; Rutaceae. The record is from RNAcentral.